Molecule: long non-coding RNA, 47698 nt
Filed under: Gossypium barbadense (sea-island cotton)
Lineage: Eukaryota; Viridiplantae; Streptophyta; Magnoliopsida; Malvales; Malvaceae
Description: long non-coding RNA (GBAR_LNC001115)
Rfam family: Plant small nucleolar RNA R71 (bases 2676-2782)
Source: RNAcentral
CCCAAAUGGCCUAAGUACAGCCCUAAUCCAUGAGAUCACUUAUGGGGCCUCUAUCAACGUAUCGAUUUCCCCCUUAUGACAGUUCGCGCACUCGCAAGACUAUCGCAGCCAAACUUUCGGCUUUUCGGCAUUUCGAGAUUUGCCGAUCUAACGUGUGUGUAGUGUAUGUACACACCUUCGGCUUUAUAUCAAGCUAUCAUAGGGUAGAAGUACACACCUUAUCACCUGGAGUACUAAGUAUUCAUAAUCGCCCGAACCUAUAUUCAACAUUAUACUCCAUUAGUCACAUCCCAUUAAUUCAUAAUAAAUCCACUACUUAUCGAAGAACUACCUAUACUUGCCUUUAUUAGAUUGAUCGGCUGCGAUCUGCCUACGUAACUUGAAUCUGACGUAUUCCCCCUUCAAUAUCCAGGUGGAAAGUCCCUAACGGCUAACACCUUACGUCGCUUAAACUUGGGAGCCUCUACCCCAACUUCUCUGCUAAAACCCCCUUUUUCCAUCAACUAAUACUUAGCCAGCGAUCACACUCUUGAAUAAAAGGGAAAAAGAUAAAUAAAUGGAGAAACCAUAGGUUAAAGAAAGUAAUAGUAUUGGAAAGGAUAAAGAAAAUUUGACUUUUAAAAGUAUAGAAACGAAAGAACUCAGAAAUAUUUAACAAAAGCCGAAGAAGAACUAAUUCACUUACCGAUCGCGAGAUCGCUUGCCAACAAGAAAUCAACCCCCAAAGUGUAUGAAUCGACUCUUAAAUAAAAAAGAAGCAACCGGCUAAGUUAAAGAGGUAAGAGGUUGAUUUGAUUAAAAUAGGGAAGAAAAUAUCAAGAGUUUGGCUUAAAGGAAAGAGAAGAUGAAGGGUUUGAGAUUACUCAGGUAUUUGCAGAAAAAAAAAACAAAAGGGUCAAGAGGUUGGAAAAAAUUUCCCCCAGGAAUAUGCGACUAAAGCAUACAAAAACAACAAAUGUCCUUACUUGCCCAUACGACACACGUAUAUAUACUAAAAGAAAAAAAACAAACCUACACUCCCCAAUCGAAUUAAACUCGUCAAGUUAAAUUCCCUUCAAUUUCUCCAAUUUUAUCACCAUCAUAUCCAAACUUAAUCCUUAUCCUUAUCUCCAUCAUAACCUUAAUUUUAGCCCACAAUUGCAUUCAAAUUGCUUUCACCGAAUGGCAAUCCUUCGCGUUGUACAGCAAAAUUAAAUUCCCUUUUGCGCAUGAAACCACUCGAACUCCAGCCCUCUAACUUCCCAACACGCUGCUGGCCACUACACCACCACCUAUCUUGUGCUACCAUUCAAUCACAAUUAACUAUAAGAUGCCUAAGUCUCAGUUUCCUUAAAGAAUAAAAAUUUAAAACUUUGCCUGGCCUGAGAUUCGAACCUGCAACCUCUUAGAUCCAUAGCAUGCUCCUCGCCACUACCCCCUAGGCGCUCUUGUGCCAUAUUUCCACCAAACAUAUUUAUAAGGCCUAAACGCUAGCUUCCCUACUAAUCAUAUGCGCUAUAAAAAUUUUCGCCAAGGCCAGGACUUAAACCUUAGACUUCUUGCUUGCUACCAAAGCCUUUUGCCACUAGGCCAAGCGUUUCCUUGGGUUAAAUUUUAUAAGGCCUUAUUAAUAAGCCUUCCACCUAAUUUUACUAAAGCCCUGGAUCGAACCAGGACUUUUUCCACACUACCAACCCUUUCUAAAUCACUUAAAAAUUAAACUAACCAUGCAAUUAUAAAAUAUUUAAACACAUUUAAGUUAUUUAAGCCACCUUCUAAUCAAUCCCAAACUCAAGGCCCAUUACUUCUAGGCCCAAAAUUCAGGGUGUUAUAAGGUUUAUAUUCCUUAAUGAGCGGUUUUUGCUCGUUGUGGCUCACCUCAACCUUACCUUUACCUAUCACAUCUUUUUGUCUCGAUUUUGGUUUAUCUUCAACUAACCCUUCUUCAUCUCGAACAAUAAUCACAUGAAGUUACUCUCUUGGGUUAGUUUUGGUAUUACUCGGUAAGCUACCUUGUGGUCAUUCUGAAAUCAUCUUGGCAAGUUGACCAAUUUGAUUUUCAAGCCCUUGAAUCGACGCUUACUGAUUUUUUAGUACGGUUUCGGUGUUUUGGAAGCGAUUUUCUGACACCGAGAUAAAUUUCGUUAACAUCUCCUCAAGGUUCAACUUCUUUUCCUACUGGUAAGGUGGUUGUUGGAAACUUGGAAGGGGUUGCGGUUUUGAUGUCCUUGACCACCCCACAAGAAAUUGGGAUGGUUCCUCCAAACUGCAUUAUAAGUGUUACUAUAUUGAUUAUUCUGAGGUUUAAAAUUAUUACCCAUAUAGUGGAUCUGUUCGUUCUCUAUGCUAGGGUUGUAGGAUGGAUAUUCUAUGUUAUUCAUUCAUCCUCCAUUCGCAUCGCACUGCAUUAUCGGAUGUACCUGCGUAGAAAUACAUGAACCAUCAAUCUUUUUAUUUAAGAGCUUUACCUUGUUUGAUAACAUGGUGACCGCGUUGAGGUUGAAAACACCGGAUGCUUUAUUAGGCUUUGUCCUCAUGACUUGCUACUGAUAGUUAUUCAGUGACAUCUCCUCUAUGAACUCAUAAGCCUCCUCAGGUGUUUUAUUAUUUAUGGUACCACCGGCGGCUGCAUCGAUCAUCUGCCUCGUUGAGGGGUUCAAACAUUAUGAAAAGUUUGAACCUGUAACCAUAGAGAUAACCCAUGAUAAGGGCACCUUCUCAAUAAGUCCUUAUACCUCUCCCAUACAUCAUAUAAAGUCUCUAAAUCUAUUUGCACGAAGGACAAGAUAUACUUCCUCAACUUAGCGAUCUUAGUUGGCGGAAAGUAUUUCAAUAAAAACUUAUCGGUCAUUUGAUCCCAAGUAGUGAUGGACCCUCGUGGUAAGGAGUUCAAUCACUGCUUAGCCUUAUUUCUCAACGAGAAGGGGAAUAAUCGUAGGCGAAUAGCGUCGUCAGAAACGCCAUUUAUCUUGAAAGUAUCACAGAACUCUAAGAAAUUGACCAAAUGAGUAUUUGGGUCUUUAUCCUGCAAACCAUCAAACUGAACAAAUUGUUGAAUCAUUUGUAUAGUGUUAGGUUUCAGUUCAAAAUUAUUUGCAGCAAUGGCAGGUCUAACAAUACUCGAUUCAGCCCUAGUGAGAGUGGGCUUAGCACAGCCGUACAUAUUACGAGGAGCAGGAUUCUGAUUUACAGGAUUAGCGGCAACCACAGGAGGUAGCAAAUUAUUUUGAUUUUCAGCCAUCUCCUCGGUAUCAUUGGUAUCAUCCUCGUGCUCUUCCUCUAUAUACUGUAGACUUCACCUUAUUUCUCUACGAUUUCUGUGAGCUGUGCUUUCAAUUUCGCUGUAAAAAAGCAAUGGUCCUAACGGAUUUCUUCUUGUCAUAAACUGAAGAAACCUGCCAGAAGCAAAUAAAGAUAAGUUAGUAAAUUAAAAUAAAAACAAAAAUAAAUUGCAAUAAAAAUAAAAAUGGCUAAGGUAAUAAAAAUUAAGUGUUCCUAAUAUUUUAGUCCCGGCAACGGCGUCAAAAACUUGAUGAUCGUUUUAUUGAUUUACUAAACUAGACUACGAUCACACACUCAGUAAUAGGUGAAAGCUUGCUAAAUAAAUAUAAACAACACAUCAUAACAAUAUGAACUACACUCUACUAUCAUGUUAAACAUGCAACAUAAAACUUGAUAAUAGGUGAAAAAGGCUCAACCACUUAAAUUGGAGUAGGAUAACACCAUUUUAUCACUUUUGUGUGAUUUAGACAAUAUAGACUAUCUUGCUUCAAAAACAAGUGUUUUUUACAUGAGUAUGAACACGAUAUAAAUAUAUUCAAGAUUAUACUCCCACGCUAGUAUAUCAAUAUAUCUAUAUUAUAUCAAAAGCAACUCACCAACUAUUUAUUUCUAAAUUUAAACCCGAAAUUUUGAAAAAGUGUUGGUACCCUCAAAAUUAUCAUAAGGAUGUGUAUAGAAUUUGCUCGAUUUAUUUAAAAAUGUUCUUUUGGUAGUACUACUUGGAGAGGAUUAUUAAGGUACGUAUGUCUUAAAACGAUAAUAAAGCCAUGGAUUAUCAUUUUUUUCGUGAUCUUUUGACGUCUAAACAGACGGACAAGUUUGUAAAAAUUGCUGUUUUAGACAAAUAUUCUCCACUUUAAUUGGUGUUAUACCAUCCAUGAAUUUCUGGUUGGAAAUGGAAAUAUGACAUAAUGACAAUCAAGCCAAAGUUAUUGUCGAGUCAGCCUACUGGGAAUAUAUGCAAUUUUAGGCAUAUUAUAGCCAUAAUAUAUAAAGCCAGGGGAAUGAGUAGACUAGCUAGAUAGGGAAUUCAAACAAUUUUUAAUAAUUGUAAUUCCGGUCAAAUUGAACCAAUUCGAAGUAUAAAAAAUAUUCAAAAUCCGAACCUAACCAACCAAUCAAAAUCAGUAAAUAACCCAUCCUUGAAUAGGGGUAGACGUGAACCUUAAACAAACUUCUAUAUAUAUAGUGUUUUCCAUCUAAAAUUUUGCAUGACAUGCUUCAAUUGCUUUAUUUUUUCUUUCUCCAUCUCUGGCCAUAACUUGUUAGUUUUGGUACUGAAUAACUAGAAGAGUUAGGUUUCAAUCAAUACCUUCUUCAAAUAAAAACAAUUAAUAUUGUUAGAAUCAAAUUGAAUUGUUUAAUUAAAUCGAAAAUUGAUGAUCAGUUAAGUUUAACUGAUAGUAUAUAAUUGAAAAUAGAGCAAAUCCCUGUAAAUUCGUAAAAAAAUAAAAUAAAAAUUAAGACAAAAUUUUGGUGGUUCAACCUAUUUUAAUUCUUUUCAUUAAUUUUUUUAUUUAAUUAUUAUUAAACCAAUUGAAUCAUUAAUUAACAACCUAACCAAUUACAUGAUUAUAUAUUUUUUACAAUAAGGAGGAAAUUUUCCAAGUACCUAUCCAAAUGAAUCUUGAAUUAGGCUUGGUAGAGUCGAGGCUGCAAUUAAUAUAUAUUAAUUAAAUUUAAAUGAAUUAGCUAUAUUUACUAUAAAACUCUCAUCCCAAUUUGUCUCUUUAAGAUGAUAGCUAAUAGUAUAUAUAUUUUUUCAUACUUUUAUAUAACAAUUAAAAAUUACAUAGCUAUCAAUUAAUUUUAACUGGAUUGAUAUGUAAAUUGUUGCCGAUAAAAAAAUAUGAGUUUAAGUACGUUGAAACGCAUUAUCUUCAUACUUAUAAAUUAGAAAGGAGUUAUAAUUUUUAUUAUUAGUGGUUUGCUCCACCUUCAACGAAAUUUUAUCCUUUUGAAUAUUCUUCUAAUUGAGAAAUAUCUCAUCAUUCAUGGUUGAAAUGUUUUUUCCUUUAAAAUUGCAAAAGGAUUACUCGAAUCCAAUUCUUUCAAACAAUAAAUCGAUUUUAAGCAGUUGUUUUUUAAAAAAAAAUUAAAAGAAAACAGUGAACAGCUAUACGAGUUGCUGCCAACCAACAAAGUUCAAUGUUAAUUUUCUUCCCUUUUUCUGCAAUUUGUACCUUACAGGCAAUAAACAUCAUCUAAUUUAGAUAUAUUUUCUUAACCUAUAAGAUCUCAUUCCAUUGUACAGAACUGCCUCAUUGAAAAACACUUACAAAUUCUGGGUUUAGUUUCUGUUUGUUUCCCCGGAAAAAAAAUACUUGAAUUUUCAAGGUUGAUCAUAGUUGGAAUCAUUCAAAGCCAAAAACCAGAUUGGUCAGGCCUGUUUUACUAUUGUUUUACUUAUGAAUUUGGAAACUGAAAAGAAGGUAAAUUAUAAGAGUCAGAACAUGCAUGCAUGCAAUUGUUUAUUUACUUACUUACUGAAGAAUUUUUAAUCAAAUAUUAUCUAUAUAUAUAUUUAAAGGUUAAGAAUAAGAAUAAAAUCGAGAUCAUAAAAAGAUUCAAUUCUGAUUUUAUUUGUACUGAUAAUUUUUGGGUAGAUGACAGAAAACUCACUAAAAACCAGCAAUGUCACGUUCAUGCUAUAUUAUCCGAACAUUUAUGAUGUUACAAUCAUUCAAAUAUAUGAAAAAACUGACGUAUACGUAUAUUUAAUAUUCCCCUUCGAACUCGAAUAAACAUAGGGUUUGAUAAGCUUGCAUGCCUACGCAAAUUGAAGCAGAUAUUGACAACAAGUUCAUAAAUCUAGCAUAAUGAAUCAAAGAAUCAGGCAUAUCUUGAUUAGAACAUGAAGCAAAUUGAUGUAAGAAUUGUUUGAAAACCAACCAUCGGUUUAUGUUUUUUUUUUAAAUUUAUUUCCAAUGCUUGGUAUUAAAUCAGUUGUCAUGAAUUAUUCGAAACAAAAGAAUUUUCAUAAAGAAUAUGGGAAAUUAUUCUUUGAUUUUUUUUUUAAAGACAUUCAUGAAGGGAAUUAACAGAAUUUAACAUGGAAUUUUUUUCAAUCAAGAACAUGAUACUGACAACAACAUGGCAACAGUAAUGGAGAUUAAAAGAACAAUGCACAUCAUCACUUUUUUCAUGUGUGUACUUAUAUACUCAGUUUUGCUUCUUCAGUUUGUUAAGAAAGUUGAAACAGAGGGAAAAGAAAAAAACACCGGCGACGGCAAAACAAUGGCAGACAAAUCCGGUUCCUCGUAUUCGGACAUGUACCGGAGGUUCAAGCCUCAUAUACUUAUGGUGCUUAGCCAGUUUGGUUACACUUUCCUAUAUAGUUUCACUGAAGCUUGCUUUAAUCAUGGAAUGAACCCUCAUGUCCACAUUACGUACCGACAUGUUGUAGCCGGCAUCGUCAUGUUCCCUUUCGCCUAUUUUCUGGAAAGGUAAGUUACUAUUUUACGUUGUUCUAAUAAAACGCAACGGGUCAGCCAUACUCUGCACCAAUCUUUUAUCAAAGUGUUUGGAAUAUUCAAGUCUUUUUUUUUCUUUUUCUUUUUUUUUUUCUUUUUUCCUUUUGGUGCAGAAAAAAGAGGCCAAAGCUGACUUUUGCCCUUUUUCUAGAGAUAUUUGUUCUCUCCAUCUUAGGGUACGUAUUUUUCAUUUUUCUUUUUAAGUAGCGAUGUUCGACUAACAUGAAAACAACCUAAACUUGUGUUUUGUUGGAUUCCGACAGGGUGAGUUUGACCCUCAACAUGUAUUUCGUGAGCUUAAGAUACACUUCACCAACAUUCCUUGCAGCACUGGUGAAUACCAUAGCUUCAUUGACGUUCAUAAUCGCAGUUGUUUUCAGGUUAGAUAUCGAUUUCGAAUUCCAUCCAUAAAUUAGCAAAAUCUUCCAUGAGGGCCAUGAAUAUUCAACUUUUAUUACAGAUUGGAGGUCGUUAAUCUUCGGAAUCCACGAGGAAUAGCCAAAGUUAUCGGAACUUUUGUCUCCUUGGUCGGUGUAACAACGAUGACAUUAUACAAGGGUCCUGCAGUAAAAAACCUAGGGCCUCCUCUUGUUCAAAUUCAAGGCAAAUCCCCCAUUCAUGAGAAUUGGUUGAAGGGUUCAAUUCUCAUUGUUGCAAGCUGCUUAACUUGGUCUAUAUUAUACAUCAUGCAGGUAAAAAAAAAAAAACUUAAAACCCCAGAUUAAAACAUACAUAUACUAAAUCACUAUGCUUAUGAUGUUCUAAAAUAAUUUGUAGGCAUUUACACUGAAACGAUAUCCAGCACCACUGUCAUUAACGACAUGGAUGAGCUUUGUUGGAGCAGCACAAUCAGCUGUUUUCACUGUCAUUGUGAACCAUAAACCAGCUUCUUGGAAAAUGGGGUUCAAUAUUGACUUCUGGGCUACUUUAUAUGCUGUAAGAAUCCCAAAAAGGGUCAUGUUUUUCUUUUUCUUAAUGUAAAGUUCUAACAUUGAAUCAUGCAUGACAGGGAGUGGUGUGUUCUGGUCUGAUUAUCUUUAUUCAACUGUGGUGCACCGAAGUGAAAGGACCUGUUUUUGUGACCAUGUUCAAUCCACUUUCAACGUUAUUGGUGGCACUUCUUGGGUAUUUCGUCCUUGGUGAAAGGCUUUAUAUGGGCAGCAUAUUAGGGGGAGCUAUUGUGAUAAUUGGACUGUAUUUGGUGCUGUGGGGAAAAGAUCGUGACCAGGAAGCUCAAAUUGGCACGGCAGAGCUGCCUUACUUGGCUUAUGACCACAAAAACGAUACUAAAGCACAUAAAAUCCUUUCAGUUGAAAGGGAAGCACCGCCAUCCGAACCUUGAAGACCAGCAUAUUUUGAUUACAACAAAACAUCCCAGAAAUUAUAUAAAAAAAUGGGAGAAGAUAAGAGCAAAAAAAGGGAUAGAAAAAGCUUAGAGGAAACAAGUACAUUUAUGGAUCUUAGAUAGUUUUAAAUGCAUAUCUGUAAAUUAAUGUUCUAAAUUGGAGCCUGCCUGCUUCAUCUAUGUUUCUUUUCUGGUUGAAAUAUGAAAAUCUGCCAUUGCUUUAAUAGCCAGUGUUCAAAACUAACACAAACUGUUGACUAACAUUUUUGGACAAUUAGCAUGAAUUUGGAUACCCCCAGCACUGAAAAUUCUCUUCAGAUAAGAAAGUUCCAGGUUAAAAGUUCAAUAUUAUGAAGCAAAAGCUGCCACUAAUGUUCAGAUUCCCGGCAACAGCCAUUAGAGACACAGAUUUCAAUGGAAUCAUUUACUACCACCCAGCUAUCCAUUAACCAAUGGCUGAAUUUUCAGAAUGUGACAAUCCAUCUUCCAAAGGAAUGUUUUGAGUUGCAGGAAAAAGCCUCAAACUGGCUCUAAAUUUUUAGGUUAUUUUCAAAAUAGUCUUAAACAUUUACUAAAGUAUUUAAAUUAAGGCCAAAUCUUUCAAAAAUGAUAAAUAAGAGUAAAAUCUUUUCAAAAAUGCUCAAAUAAGAGUUUAUAUCAAAUUUCAAAUUAUAUUUUUAUUACAUUAUUUUAUUUUGAAACAAUAUCCGAUUCAACUGUGUUUUUAUUCUAAACAUGUUAAUAUUUACCUAAUUUUUUCUAUAAAAUGGACUAAAAUGCAUGAAAAACCUUUAUUCUGAGUAUUUUUGCUAGAAGUUAAAAAUCCAUAAAUUGUUUUGUUGAAGACAAUUUGAUAUAGGACCAUUUAUUGGGCCUACAUGGUGUAGUCCAUUAGGCUUGUUCUGUUAAUUACAAUUGUACCUCACAACUCGAAAGGGUCAGAUUACUCAUCCAGAGCUUAAUAUGCUUGGAUCGAGCUUUAAAUUUAGGUUGUUUUAGCUUAUGCAAGUUUGUAAUUUAAUAAUAAAAAAUAUUUAUUAAUCAAAUAGUGAAAAUGGGUUUUACAAGUCAAUCUAGGUUUGACUCAAAUGAAUUUGUACCAACGAAUUUUAAAAGUUUCAGACGGCAGCUCAAUCCAUAAACAUAUAUUUGGUCACAACCAUGGUUGAAAAUUUGAUUAAUCUUUCAUUAAAAUACUGAUAAAUAACAAUAAAUACAUAAGCAUGGCACAUAAUAUUUAUAUUUUCUCACGUUGAUAUCUCCGUCUCUCAACUAUUAGUGAAUUACAAUCAAUGAUGACGUAAAUCAAAAUUUUAUCUUUUUUGAGGUCAAAUGUAUCGUAUAACUUAAAAUUUUAGGUUUAAAUAAUACUUAGUAUCUGAACUUGAUAAAACUUUUUUGGCCUAAUUUAGUACCUGAACUUUACACUUUUUCCUAUUUUGGUACUUAAGUUCUUUUUUAGGUUCAAUUUAGUACCUAAAUUUAUUAAAUAUUAUACAAAUUACGCAAAACACUAAUGGUAUUUUUUUUUGUUAUGCUACAAAAAUAUUGUCAGUAUUAGAGGAAAUUCAUGUUAAAAAAUAGGUAUUGAGCUAUGUUUAACAAAUUAAUAUUAAAUAAGGAAAAAAGAUUUUUUAAAACCCCAAGUUAAAAGAAAUUCAUAAAUUUCAAUUAAUAAAAAAUUAAAUAAAUAAAUAACACUAACAGUAUUGAACAUACAAAAUACAAAAAAAUAUCGUAUCAUCUAUCACAUUUCAAUCAUACAUUGACUAUUUUUACUACCCCAUAAAAAAAUAACAUUGGUAGUAUAUUGGAGUAAUUUGUAAAACAUUUGACAAGUACCAAAUAGAACAAAAAAAAAUAGGUACCAAAUUAGGAAAAAGAGUCAAGUUCAGGUGCCAAAUUGGACCCCCCAAAAGUUUAAGUACCAACUUAAGAAAAAGUGUCAAGUUUAGGUAUCAAAUUAAGAAAAAGUGUCAAGUUUGGGUACCAAAUUAGACCAAAAAAAAGUUUAGGUACCAAAUUAGGAAAAGGUGUCAAUUUAGAUACCAAAUGUUAUAUUAAACUAAAAUUUUAUAGAUUGUACCAGCACCUUGACCCUAGCACUAUUAUGAUUUUUUUAAAGAAACUAAACCGAUUUAGGAAUAAAGGAUUUAUUUCUAUACUGUAAAAUAAAACAAAAUCUGAUUAAAUAAGAUUUUUGGAGAGGAAGAUGGGCUAAAGGGUUUUGUGCUGAAGACAGUCAAGGGCUUGCAAAAUAAAAGGUGUCUUGGUAUUCUAGGCUGCAUGAGAGUACGUGAAAACUUGAGGCUUAACUGUUCUUUGCUCAUGAUUGGUGGAGGUUAAUGUCCUUUCUAGCAGAGCUGCUCAUGCCCCUUGAUCAUUGGCAGGUAUUAUUAUCGAUUCUUGAUAGAGAUUUAUUAAUUACCCAUCAUGUGACAACCAGUUAUUAUGACAUUUUCUCCUUUUAGGUUAAGUGCUUGCUUGGAUUUGGUGAAUAUUCUUUGAGGACUGAUCCCUCCAACAUAACAAGUUUUGUUCAUAUAAUUGAUCAAAUUCUAAAAGGUAGAUUUUAGAGACCCAAAAAUUUAGUGUAGGCAAAGAAGAAAUAGGACCAUUACCAAAUACCAACCAAGGCCAAACCCUAUAUUCUUUAUUCAACAACCACAACAUUAUUGACACUAGAAGUUGAUAAACUUUUUUCUUUUAUUCUCUCAAUUGGAAAACACCCCACCAAAAUCAAUUGAAUGGGACCUCUCUCCUUCCUUCUACCUCUACCUCUUCCUUUUUAUUUUUUUUAGUCUUUUGUCUCUUAUCUCAAAGCAAAUAUGAGACAAAUAAUGGAUCCAAUCAAGCAAAAAAGAUUAAAAAAUUAACAAAAGAAGAAGGCAAAUGUUCAUCACUGUCUAAUAAUAUUGAUUAAAGUGAUGAUAAAAGGAACAUAAAACUAUAAUUAAUGAAGUGUGUUUUUAGAUAAUAAUUACAUAAUCUUUAAUCAACUGCUUGUUUAAGCAAUAAGUAAUGAUGUCCAUAAUCAUGGCUUUGAGUCAUUUAAGAACAUAAUGGACCAGCUCCAUAUGACAAGUCAUUAUAAUUUAUAAACCCAGAAACAGAUCCAAAUAAAAUCAUCAUUUUCUUUUUCUAUUUUUGAAUUCCAUUCUUUAAUCUGUUUUUUAAAUCAUUAAACAUUGCCAUUAAAUUACUAAUCUGAAAAUUAAUCAUUCAGCAAUUUAUAUGUAAUGAAUAAGCAAAAGUCAAACAAUAAAAUAUGUAGGAAAUAAUUUCUAAUAAAUUAAAAUAAAUAAACUAAAUUUUCAAUUCUCAUAAAAUAAAAAUAAAUAAAUUCACAAUUAAUUUUUUUUUCCAAUUUCAAUUCUAUGUCACAAAUUUACUCAUCUAGUAAUACAUGAAAAAAAAAUCUCAAAAUUGUAAAAAAAAAAAAAAAAACCCUAAAACUGUAGUUUUUUAUGUCUCCAAAUAAACAGGUAAAAUUGCAUUUUUAGACCCUCUACCAUGACUAAAAGAGAAGAAAGACCUUCUCAUCACUCUGCUACUGCAACCUUCAAUGGGGCUAAUACCCUCAUUCACUUCCCUUUUCUGUCUUAUAGCUUCUUGAACAGCUAAAUAUAGCUGCCGAUCUGCUGAUGAAUCCAUUGAAAUCGACCUCCUUAUUGGUUGAAUCCCAAACUCUGCACCUUUGUUUCUACUAUCAAUCCAUUCAUCCCCCAUGCUUGUCCCUUUAUGCAACUUCCUUCCUCGUUUCUCCACAUCCUUGAGCUCCAUAGGUGAACCACUAAUUGACUCAUCGCUUGAACUACGGUUAUUAUUAUCACCUAGUUCAAUCACCACAUAAUCUUCAUCACCACCAUUACUGAUUGGAUCUUGUGGAGCUAAGCUUUGUGCAUUGAUGGUACUACUCGAAAUACUCGUUCUGCAAAGUGGGCAAUUCGCAUUGUUUUGAAGCCAAACGUCAAUGCAGUCUAUAUGAAAAACAUGGCUGCAAUUUGGUAUCAUCCUUAGCUUCUCGUCUUCUUGAAACUCAUUCAAACAAACAGCACAUUCACAAAGGGUCUUUUCAUCGAUGUUCCCAUUGUUUUUCUUGAAUUGGAAUAUUGGGAUUGAUCUUAUCAACGAUUCAUCUAACCCUCUAUGUUCCAUUGCUGGAGAGUAAGGCGUUAUUGGGUCUUCGGGUCGUCUUCUAGAUAAUGAAAAUUGUCUUAGAAGAUCAAUCCUGUGCCAAUUCAGACAGCAUUUGAUGACGAAGAUGUAGUAGCUUACUAACAAGAAACCAGUGGCUAAAAUCCCUAUUACAGCUAUAGCUAUAAUGGGGAAACUUGGCUCUGAUGAAUGUAAAUGAGGAGGAGGACCAGAUGUGAUAUUUGGUGAAAGUGCUUGUGAGCUUUUCCUUACAAGAUCCAUGAAAGAUUAAAAACCCAGUACUGUUUUGCAGAAACUAGAAAUGGGUAUUUGAUGAAAUGAAGAAAGAAUCAAAGAAAAAUGGAGGGAAAAAAACACAGGUAGGGGGACAAUAAAUGAAGGAGAUGUCAAAAUUAGGGGGAUUCAAAGGAAAAAGGCUAUGAAUAUGAUACCAAUUUAUAAAGUGAACAAAAAAAAAAAGGAGAAAUCUUUAUUUGUAGUUGUACAUAAUUUGGUGAGUUUUUUUCUUUCAGAUUUUCCACCAGCAAUUUGGCUGCUAAUAUUAAAAAAAAAAAUUUGUUGCAGACUUCAGUGUCCCCAUUAUUGUGCCUUUAUAUAUAUAUAAACAUGAUUUUAUUAAUUAAAUAAAGGUAUAAAAAAUUGGGUGGGGGGAUUGAAUGGGUUGGCUCAGCAUAAUGAAUGAUAGGGGUGGCUUCAAAUAAACGUAGGAAUGAAAAAGUGUGGGGGCACCAAGCAUUUGAUGUUCAUAUUUGACGAUUUGAAGUUUAAACUUAAAAAAUGUGGUAAAUAGUGUUAAUUAAUAGUACAAUUUUAAACAAUAUAUUUACUCUUUUUGACAAAAUGUGUAAGAUUAUCCAUAACUCUUCUUCAACUCAUAAAUAAGAGAUAAUGUGUUUUAACACAUUUGAGCUCACAUUCUCCUGCAUUGAUAAUAAUACUCAUGUCAAUCGAACUAAAACUUAAAAAACCACCUUUUAAAAGUACCAAUUGAAUUGAGUGAAAAAGACGAAACACUAAGCCUUAACAUAUGCAUAUUAUUUCAAAUUACCUCAGGUGGUUGGGAAAAUUGAUUUAACAAUUUUUCUUUAAAUUUAAACAAGUCAUGCUUUAAAUUGAUUUAACAUUUUUUCCUACCAAAUUGUAAAUUGCAAAAAACAUGGAAAAGCUAGAAAGAAAAUUUUAAUUAUAAAUUUUGAAAAAUCUAAAAAAUAAUAUUAUCACUUAACUUACAAUUUUAUAAUUUUAAAUUUACCAUAUAUUUUUGGAUCCCACGUAUAUAUAUUGUUUAGAUAAAUGGUAGUUGAACGAGAUUAAUAUACCUUUCAAUAUGAAACAACCUACAAGCAAUUAUAUAAAUUCUAAACCUAAUCUAAAGUACAAACAAUUAAUUGGAAUCAAUGCAAUUAAGGUUGGCUAAUUUCAAUUGCUUGCCCUUCUUUUCUUUUUCCAAUCAUCAUCAAUCAUAAAGCAAAACCAAAGGUCUCAAAGUCACAUGCAACCAUCAUUUUUCUUUUUAAUUUUGCCUUUGCCUGCUAUUUUUGUUUACUAAUUUAUUGAUUACCUUUCACAUCUGCUUUUUUUUUUCUUUUUCUUUUUUUUUGUUAAAUCCAUUUACACUUCCAUCCUAUUUAUUUAAUUUAUUUUUAUUUUAAGGAAUUUAGACAUUGUAUUUUACAGAUUUUAAAUUUAAGUCUUAAUUAUUAAUGAAAAGUGUAUUUAAUCCUUUUACCUUUAAUUUUUUUAAAUGAAUUAUAAUAACAGAAAACAAAGUUUAAAUAAUAAACGCAAUUAACGUAGCUAAAAUUUAAGGUACACUUCAGGUGAUAAAUACCUUAACUAUCAGACUAUCAAGUUCAUUUAACCUUAAUUCUUUCAUUACAAACUAAAAAAAAAGGUUUAGAAUCUAAUUUUUUAAAAGAAUCCACAUUUAUGGCUAAUUUGAUCAAAUAUGAGAUAAUAUUUUGAAGUGGAUCGUUGAUCUUCAUCACUCCCAAAAAGCUAUAUCUUUUAACUAAUAAAGUCAAAUUUGUAUAACAACGCUCCAAACCCAAGGCAGAAGGAAGGUCCACAAAUUUUAUUUAUUAUUUUGAAAAAACCGACACUCUCCAUAUUUGUCAUGUUGACAAAGCGUAUACAAAGACAACCCCUUUUCUUAUGUAAGAAAAACAGUCUUUGUAUAUUUUGAAAAUAGGCAUUUUCCAUUUAUUUUAGUCAAAGGUGGUGUGCUCUUUUACAAAAGAAACUUCUUCCAUUACAACAAAAAAUUUCUAGUCUGUGAUGACUUUUUGGUUCACAUCAUUGUCAUGGAGUUUGUAGUUAAUUCCUAGUGAGCCUUUAAAUGGUUUAAAACCUUCUUUAAUUUGCUCAAGAAAAGAAUUUAUUUUCUCCUUAUUAAUUACUAAAUAAGUAAGGGCAGUUGAAGGGUGGGUGUGAAUUGUUAAACUAGCUUAGCUAGAAUAGAACCCAAUGUUGAUUCAUGCUAAUUUCUUUCUUUUUUUUCUAGUAAUGUUUUGGAGAAAAUGAUUAUUUUAAUAAGGGGCAAAGGGAGUUGGGUAAGCAGAGCCUAAUCUCCUUAAAAUAGAGAAUUAUGUUGUUGAAAUGAUAAAAUUUUAAUUUAGCCAUUUUAAAAACUAUAAACAUAGAGCUCAAUACAAUGAUGAAAUUGCAUUUUAGCUCUCAUAAAAAUAUAUAACUCGAUAUUGAUCUCCAGAAUUUUUUUUGACUUUAUCCCUGAUUUUGAUAGAUCAUGGUUUAAUGCCAUCUGCCAACUGCUUAAAAGAGUAAAUAGUUAAAGUUUUUUCUCGGCACCUCAAGGAUCAACGUUCAAAUUUUGCUAUUUGCAUCUUGUCUUCAUUCUCCAUAAAAUGUAUGACCAAUAUGUGGUUGAAAGAAGCGAAACUUCUUUCUCAAUCAUAUAGGGUAUUGUGUGGUCUUCCUUUGACAUUCUCAUCUUGGAGGUUGUAUAAGAUUGUUAUGACUUGAUGGUCCCUUAAUGGUUUGCAUGAGGGUGCAUAGUGGGCUUUCUCCAAGCUAGUUCAGGUAGGGUGCAUGAGAGGUCACUUGUGGGUUGUCCUAAGUUAAGGGUUGCUACAGACGAUUUCUAGUGAAGGGUUCUAUACAGGUUGCUUCUAGCAAAGGGUCGUUUGUAGGUUGCUUCAUGUCUUGCUUCAUCUUGUUGCCAAGGUGGGGGGUAUAACAAGUUCAAAACUUGAAGUAAUCACUAUUAAAAGAGUUUUACAUGAAUACCAUUCCAAUUCAAAUAAGAUUAAUAUCAUAUCAUAAAACGGAUAAAAACACAUAUAAUUAUAAAAAUAUGUAUAAAAAAGUUUCAUUCAAAUUUCAAAUCCCUAUUUUUGUUUCAACUGCAAGAGGUGAAGCUUUUAAUUACAUGCCCUAAUAAAGAUUUAACUAAAUUUCUAAAUUCAUUUGAAUUUGAUUAUGAGAAAAAAAUAAUUCAAAUAAACCUAACACAAAUUUAAAAUUUUACAAUUUGAUGUUAAAGAAUUCAGUUUGAAAUAAUCAAAUUCAAAACAUUAAUGUAAGAUUAUUGAAGAUGAUAUUAUUGAGAGACAACCACAAACCUCAAAAAAUUAAUUUUCAUGAACUAUAAAACGAACAUCGAAGAUUCAUUAAUUCUACCAAAUAAAUCAAGAUUAUUUGAUUCGAAGAACACUUAAAAACUACUUAAGUCAUGAGGUGAGGUGUGGUGUGGUGGCUAUUCACCUCAUUCCUUACGGCAAGUUUAGCAUUGUUGAGGCACUUUUGGGACAAAAAAUUAGUUAAAAAUAUUAUUAAACAAGAUGCUUUUGAGCUUUAAGUACUUUUGAGACAAAAAAUACUUUACAGAAACUUUUUUUUAACCAUAAGCAGAAGCAUAAAUUUUUUAUUUUUGCUCAAAAGUGUUUUGGAGUAACAUUUUUAAGAAGCAAUACUAAACAAAAUCUUAAUCAUGUGAUCGAAAAUUCAAUUCUCCUAAUUGAUAAUAUUACCUUAAUUACUAUAAUGUAAUAAAAAAAUUACUUUAAAGUUGUGAAACCCAAACUUACUUACCCAAUUACCACUUUUAAUUUUAAAUAAUUAUAAAAAUCCAUAAUUUCUAAAAAAAUUCUAUCUUGAAUUUUUUGUUUGCUAAAAUUGAGUGUAGGGUUCCCUUAACAUAGGCUCUAAAAUUCACUUCCUUUUUUAAUUACUUACCAGCAUAUAAAAAAUUAUGGGUAUACAAACUGUUAUUCCCAACUAUAUAUAUUAGAUGACCCCACUUCCAUUUUGGCAACAAUUGUAGAGUAGAAUUUGUAAGUAAAUGACAUGUAAGUCUAGAUUUCUUAGCCAUGGGAACCUACAAUACUUUACUAUUCACCUAACUUUUACAUAUCCAUAAGUUUUCAUCUUUUCUUGGAUAAUCUUUUUUAUUCUUUUCUACAUUUCACUCAUCUAACGUUUUUAAUGCUUCACCAUUCGCAACAUCCCUAUUUUUAUUUUUAUAAUCCUAUUAAAAUUAUAUCUUAUUGUCUAAUUAUAUUGUUUUAAAUUUUCUUAAUUUUAAUUCGACUAAUAUAAACAUUUAUGAGUCAGAAAAUAUCCAUCCAUAAUACUAAAUAUAUAAAAGUUUUUAAAUAUUUCCCAAUUAAUUCAUUUCAUUCUUCCAUUUACUUGCAUUAUUACUAACCCGCUAUUUUGAACUUUGAAUAAGAUCAUGGUAGUUGAUUCUCUACCCAACAUAAACUACAAAUCGUAUAGCAUAGGCUUUGUUUCCUCUUUAAUUCUGACUCAUUCAAUCCUCAAAGUAUGAGGGGAGCUCGUAUUUUGGUCAUUCUAUUAAAAACAUAAGUAAAUUAAUUUUUAUGUAUUUUAAAACGUACAAAAUGAUCUUUUGAUUAAAAUUUUCUCUUAAAUAAUGAUAAGAAAAAUGCUAGAAUUUUUUUGGUAAACUAUAAAAAUGAUCACACAACUAUGCCUUUUGUUCUAUUUCAAUCACUCAAUUAUUAAAUUUUUUUAUUUAGUCAUUAAAAUUUUUGAAAUUAAUUGUUUUAGUCACUGUAAGAUGAUAUGGGCAUUUUUUAUUAGCCCAGUAACAAAAUUAACCCUCUAAUGUAAAUUACACAUUCUAUCAAUUUGAUCCUAAAUAUAAAAAAUGCAACAAAUUUAGCCCUCAGUGUUUACAAAAUUUUUCAUUUUAGUUCUAAUUCUAAAAAAAUUAAUAAAAUGUUUCCUCAAUAUUUAAAAAAGUUAUCAAUUUAGUCCUAAUUUUAAAAAUUUAAAAAAAAUAUUUUUAGCCAUUUAUAACCCAUCAAAUAAUCCACAUUAAAUAUUAAAAUAAAAAAAAAUCCUUUUUCAAGUCGCUUGUAAACCAAACCAAUUAAUUUGAAAUCUAUCAGAAAUAAUUGCUAACUUGAGAUCCAAUAUUUAAUAAUUUCUUACAAAGUGAUAACAUUAAAUUGGCUAUUACUAACUUUAUAAAUACUUGGCCAAUCCGAUGGUUGUAAUUCGCUGAUCAAAUUGGGAAUCAACCACAUCCAAAAGCAUAUAAUAAUCGCUUCACCAACAAAAAUAUUAUAAGAAAAGAAUUAAAUAUGAAUUUCAUUUUUUUAAAAUUAAAACGGAAAAAGAAAAUUUGCACAUGCAACAGCUGUUGAUGAGAGAAGCUGUUUUACCUGCUUGUCAGUCUGGAUAUUAUUAUUAUUAUUUAAAAAAUUACUGUUUUUUUUUUAAUAAAACAAAAUUUCCUUCUUCUUUUUUAAUUCAAAUUGUUUGCUUGUUUGGGUUUUGUUGUUGACUUUCUUGUAGGAUUUGUAAUUAUAUAUAUUUUUCAGUUUAAGUUGACCAUUAUCUUCCACAUGAAAAUGGUAAUUACUUGUAUACUUUUAUAUUGAUUAUCGCUUCAGUCACUUUUGCAAGUAUAUCGAUUGGGGUGAUUUUGAGUUGUUGGAGCUUGAAUUUUGAAACACAUUCUGAUAUUUAAAUUAAAUGAAAAACAACGCUGAACUCAAAAUCUUAAAUUACAUGAAAGUAGAUGAAAGUUUAAUCAUUUAUUACUCAUGAUUGGUGGAGGCUGAUAUCCUUCCUAUGAUAGAGUUGCUCGUAUGGUCUUUUUGUUGAUUUCAGUAUUACCGUAAAUGCUCGUGGUUAUUAUGUUUAGGUUUAAUGAUUAUUUUUUUAAAUUUAAUAUUUUUUGUAGAAAAAAAAAUUGGGAUAUCUUGAUAUAAUAAUUGGAUAAUCAUUAAUAUCAUGUUUAUUACUUGUAUACAUUUAUUUAUUAUUUUCUUUUAUAGUCUUCAUAUUUCUUGAUUGGAAAAAAGAAGAAAAUAAAUAAAUAAAAAACAUGUAUAACACGAAUUUCUUGGUUAAUAAAAUGAUCUUGUAUGAGUGAGAUGAAAUGAGAUACUUCUGUAAGAUAUAAAUUGCUUAGAAAAAAAAAACAUUUUCCAAAUGUUUAAACAAAAUUAAAAGUAGAGGAAAAAAAAACCUUAAUUGAAGAGAUGGGCUCUUUUUAGGGAUGGAGUCAUGAAAUUUUAAAUUGUAUAUUUUUAGAAUAGUAAAAAUAUUAUUUUAUUAUUUUAAUAUCUAUAUCUUUAUAAUUUUAAAGGAUUAAAUUAAAUUUUUAUUAUUUUUAGGGGUCUAAAAUAUAAUUUUACUUUUACUAAUUUAAAUUUUUAUAAAUUUUAAAGGAGUCUAAAUAAAAAAACUUUCCUGAGGCCCUACGAAACCCUGGCUACACUUCUAAUUUCUUUUUUGAAAAAAAUAUUUAUUCAAAAUUAUUUCAAAAAUAAAUCAAAUUUUUCAAAAGAAAAGAAAAUAAGAUAUAAAUGACAUAGAAUUGCCAUGACUCGAUAUUUAAUAGUAAUAUAAAAUGGUUUAAAAUGUGAAAUUUUGAUAAAAAUUAUUCUAUAACUUCUAUUUUUAAAAAUUUGAAGUCAAACUUUAAAAAAAAAAUAAAAAAGAUAGAAAAUUUUUAUUAAUUUUUUAACUUAUAAAUAUUGCGAAUUUAGAUAUUGAUAGACGAUGUAUGUUUUAAAAUAUUAAUUUGAUUUUAGGUUCUUAUCAUUUUUUUUAUAUAAUGCCUAAAACUAUUUAUAAUCCCUUCUCAACCUUUAAAUAAGACGAUAAUAUAUUUUAGCGCAUUCAAACUCACAUUCUCCUGCAUUUAUAACAAUGCUGAUACCAAUCGAGUUAAAACUCAAUCGGCUUAAUAGAUAAUAUUUUUAAAGACAAAUUUAGAAGUAAAAAUAUUAUUAUAGUCUUUAUAUUAUAUCUCAUAUUGCAUUUUAAUUAUUCUACUAAAAAUACACAAAUCGAUUCUUGUAAGGUACAAGAAAAGUCAAAAUAGUAUUUUUAAGGUCAAAUUUGUUGUCAUGCAUUAUAUGUGAAUUACCAAUUUAACGAAAUUGAUGCUUAUGCCAAGACAGUUAGAAAACAGCAAACCACAAAGUGACAUGUGUACAAGAAAGGGCCAAAUUUUGAUGUAUCAGAUCACGUGAGAGCUCACGUUGGAUUAUGAAAUCACGUGAGGUUCUGAGCUGGGAAUCAAUAAGAAAUGUAAACAAUUUUCACCAUUUUUUCUUUUCAACAAAAACAAAUAAAAUAAAAUAAAUACUGCAAAGAAAGAAAUACGUUUUAAACAUUGACUACACAAGGACUAUCACGUGUUGUCACGUGCUUCUAGAACCGACUAUUGCCACUUUCAUUUUGAAGCACCUUCUUUCGGUCAAGCCAGUCAAAAGCUGAGAAUGGACCAUUUUUUGGAUCCUUAAAUUAUUUUUCCUAUAAAAAUAAUUAUAAAAAAUGUUAUCAUAAAAAAAAUCAAAUUAAAAAUGUUACCCAUUUUGUUAAGAUAAAAAAAAUUGUUGUUACAUAUUAAAUUUUAAUUUAAUUAGUAUAAAUAUUAUUUUAAUAUAUGAGAAUAUGAAUUUGAAUAUGUUAAAAUGUAUUAUCCUCAAACACCACCAUUAGCGUAUCUCCAACUAUCAACGUCGGUAUUCUAACACUAACAAGAUGAUAGAAUUUGACUAAUGUUAAUAGAUAUGUAAUCUAGAGAGAAAUAAUAUGUUUUGCUAUCAUAUUUUGAUUGAGAUAUUCUUUCUUAUAAUAAACUAUGUUAAUCUCAUAUAGGGUCAACAUUUUUAUUGAAAAGGUCUGUCCUUAAAUUAAAUUAAUUUCAUAAUCUGACCUCUAUAGCUAAAUGGUACAAUAGGUCUACAUAGAUUUUCUUUUUAAAAAAAAUAUUAAUUACAUGUACGAUUUUAAUCACAAAUAUAUAAAUAACAUAUAUUUAAAUAAUUAUUAUUAGACUUAACUAUUAUAAAAUACUAUUGAAUUAAUAAUUAAAAUAUAUUUAAGCUUAAAUCAAAAUAAAUUUAUAUAUGAACCACACAUAGUUAAAUUUAAAGGUUUAGAGUAAAAUAGUGAAAAUAGUUGAACAUGAGGUUUUUUUUUAUCAAUAAAGGAACUACAUAUUGUUGAAAUAACUUAAAGCAUUGUUGAAAUACAUAGCACCUUCCUGCAUAUCAAUAGUUAAAAGGGAUUAUUUAAACAGCUAGGAGGAUUCAUACAUAAAUAAAAUUAAACAUUGAAUUGAGAUGAGUCGGGUUGAAAAUUACUUCCAAGUUAAGCUAAAGCAUUGCAUUUGUCACUUAUCAUGUUUGACAGGUACGACUUUGGGGUUUGUUUGGAGGUGCGAUUGCACAGGGCUUAAGGCUAAAAGAGAUUCAAGAUUUUUUUUUUAUUUUUAGAAGUAAAAAAAAAAGUUACCAACUUUUAAGGGCCCAAAAAUAAAAUUUAGCUUUUAAAGGCUUAAAAUUUUUUUUUACCAACUUUUAAGGGAUCUAAAAAAACUUUUCUUCAAACUUUUAAGGAGUCUAAAACUCUAUUUUAUUAUUUUGCCUAAGAUGCAAAACUAUCAAGAACGGGCCUGAUGUUUGAGCAAAUUAAAAGUCAUAUUGUAAAAAAACAUCCUGCACUCAUCAAUCAAAGAAGAUGAGAUAAUGUUAAAAGUAUCCACAAGAAUAAUGGAAGUGGCAUCCACUUCUAUUUCAAGAUUGUUUAUAUUCAAAUUUCUAGCCACUAGCCGUUAAAAGAUAGUCUCUCAAGACCCAGAGUUCUGCCUUAACACUAAGUGUCUCUUAGAACAUGUCAAUUGACUCAGAGUUCUGCCUUAACACUAAGUGUCUCUUAGAACAUGUCAAUUGACUUCAAUUAUCUCGUCACCAGAAUGAUUUCUAAUGAGAGCUCUAGCCUCGGCUCUCCCAGGAUUACCCAAAGACAAACCAUCAAUAUUAAGUUUAAACUAAUCCACUGUAGGUGAUUUCUGAAAAUUUUGAAUAAAAGAAAGUAGCUCUCUCUAACUCACUGCAAUAGAAAGGGCAAAAAACUUUCUAGCCGUAAAGAAAACUCUAUCAAAAAGAUGUUCCUUAAGGUGGUCAUUUCUGAAAAUCAACACGUUUUGAAUAAGCCAAGUCUCCCAUAAGAUGAAAGCAAAAAUGACAUUCCAAGAGAUUUCAAGGUUUAAUGACCCGAACUUUGGAAGAGAGAUCUACAACAAGCCAAUCCUCCCAAUUACCUCCAGUAGAGAGGGGAUUUGGGCAGAAGAGUGAAUAGAGCACCAGGAGCUGCAAGUAACUUGACAUUCUCUUGGGCAUUUAAACGUAGGAGUCCUUUUUAUAGACUUAACUAUUUGUUAUAAGUUGAAUUCUUAUAUAAAAUUAUUUUUUUACUAAAUAUUAUAUCUUUACAUAACACAAUUAUUGGACUCACAUUUUAUUUAUUCGUUAAAUCAUUAAAAUAUAUUAUUUUAUAUUAUUUAUUUUGAAAGUAAUGCGGAAUCGAAUAAAUCAAUAUCACUAUAAACAAACAUAAUUAAUGAUUGACUUGUUUAAGCUUGAUGGCCUGCUUAAAAUUUAGAAGGGUUUAGUAAAAGAAUACUAUGCUCUAAAAAUAUACUUAGAGAAAAAAAAAAUAAGACGGCGUUUAAAAAAUGGGCUAGGAUCAAACUUGUAUAUUUAAGGACUAAGCCUGACCCAAUUUGACCCGUUUUCUAAUUUUGUAAUAUAUAAUAUAAUGAGAUUUACAAGACAAAAACCAAUAAAUCCAUAAUAAUAUAUAAUAUUAUAAUGUAAACAUUAGAAAACAAUAUUUUAAAUAAAAAAUAAAAUUAAUGUAAAUAAAAAAUAAUGGAAAUAUUUUUUAAAAAUAUAUAAAAUUAUUAUAUUUUAAAUUAAAAAUAAUAGAAAUAUAUAUUUUUUAAAUAAAAGAAUAAUUAAAAACAAUUAAUUUUUUGGGUUCAUUGUGAAAUUCAGAAUUGAUAGCCCAAUGCAACCCAUCCCACAAUCAAAUCCAAAACAGCUAAGGCUUUGUUCCUACUUUUCAGUCCAUGUUGCCAUGGAUUUUGCAUUGGGCCUGCUUUUGGGACUACACAUUAAUUAAUUUCACUCUUUAACCAUAUGCAAUUUCCCCUUAUUUUUCACGGUAAUUAUUUGGUAAAGAGACGGUGAAAAGUUUAUAAUUUAAGUAAGGUUGAAAUUUUGUGAUAGAUCUUAUUUAUUUUUAAAAAAAAAUUAAAAUAGAAUUUAAGGAUAUAUGACAAAAUCUCAAUCCUAUUUGUGGAGUUAAAAUUUUCCAUUGCCUAAAGGUGUAAAUGAGAAACAGGCACCCACAAAUUAUUAAGUGUAAAUAGAUCUGUUCAUUUUAUUUAAAAUUAUUAAGUGUCAAAUGUAAGAGUAAAUUCAAAUUUUUUAUAUUGAAAUGAUGGAAAUAAAAUUAUAAAAUUGUGAGGUAACUAAAUUUAAAAAAAAAAAUUAUAGUGAAAGGUUCAAAUUGCAUUAUUAACUUGUUGUGCAAAAAGAAAUAUAAUUUUAUUGUUUAACUAAAAGAGAAACCAACACCAUCAAAACUAGUAUAACAUUUAUAUAAAAAACCCUUCAUGUAAAAGAAUUUACAAGUUAAGCUACUUUAAUUAGUGAUGUAAAAAUAUUGUUAGUAAAAGUAAGUGUAUACAAAUAGACUUGAUUAAGGGUUGGAUUAUUCAUUCAAAUAUAAAAUUUUAUAAAAAAUUUGAAAGGAUUUAGGAAAAAAAUAUUAAGUAAAAAAAUGAGUUUGAGGAAAAAAUUAGACCUACUUAAAAUAGAUGUGGUAACUUAUUUGAUCUUCGAACUUUAUAAAAAAAGACUCAUGUUAGCUGUCCAUAUAAAUUUUCUCAUUUUUUAGCACUGGAACUUUUAUUGUUUGUCAAAUCACUCUAAAAUUGAUUGAUAAGUUAACGUUUGCUAACUUUGCAUCAACGAUUAAUUAUUUUUAAAAAAAUUAAUAAAAUAUUUUUUAAACUUUUAAAAUAAUUUUGUUUUUGUUUCCUUCAAGACUAGUGUUGUUGAUCUACUGUUGUUUUUGACUUCUGUUUGAGAUGUUGGCUUUUGAGCUCUUUUUAUGAUCAUGGUGUUGUCCUUGUGGGGGAGUAGGGUAUUGACAAAUUCAUGAUGUUUUUGUUUUGUUUUAAGCUUAGUCCAACCUGAUUCUUUUCAUACUCUUGUUUAUUAAAAUCUUUUUUUCCUGCUAUAUUUUAUGUAUAGUAGUAGAAACAUUGUAGAAGUUUAUUAGUAAGUUUAUGUUUUUGUUAUUUAAUUUUAAAAAGUUAUAAAAUAGUCACAGAAUUAUUUGAAAAUUUUCAUUUAAGUCACUAGGUUCUUAAAAUCGUUAUUGUAUGGCAUUCUUCGUUUGCACCAAUUAAAACCUCUCAUUUUCUUUCUCUUAUACAAUUUAAUUUUUUUUUUAUGAAUCAAUUUUGAACGUCACGAAUUUGUGAACUAAAAUCUAAAACAGUUUUCUUCCCCUAUCUUCGACAUUGACUGUUAGAUUAACUUGGUUCUGAGUUAUGUUCUUCUACUCAUCAAUGGGUAUUGAUCCAUUGUAUAGUCCAGUGGCUUAAGUGAAAACUUUCGAAUAGUUUAAUCGUUAUUCUGUAACCUUUUGAAGUUAGGUGACCAAAAUAUAAAUUUACUAAUAGUUUAAUGAACUUAGGUGUAAUUUACCCUAAUUUUUAUGAUAUUUUUUUACAUUAGAUAUAAAAGAAAUUUAGUAUCUCAGUUCGAGUUUAUUAAUAUUGUAUAUAUCUAUUGUAGCGACGUAAAAAAUUUUGCUCUCGGUCGCUAAUUGAGGCGAUUUAUUGGAAAUUUGAAAACAGACUUUCAAUUUUAUUAAAAAGGGAGUCGCCACCGAUUUUUUUUCUAGGUGUGAUCGGACACCUAAUAAAUCUUCUUGUUUGAAAAAAAAUUUUAUUCUCGAACAAAAAUGAAGGCCAAAUUUGGGUCUACGUGAAAAUCAGAGUAAAGUAGGGUUCGGGAGUCGGUUACGCGCAAGGAAGGUAUUAGCACCCUCGCGACGCCCAAAAUUGGUAUCUUGUAAAACACGCGUUGUCUUGAUUCUCGAAAAUACGAGUUCAACUUAAAUGUUAAUCGUGAUCCGACCAAAACACAAGAGUUUUUUAUAAUUUCGAUCUCUUUUGAGAAGGACGUUCCUUUUUAACACGAGCCGAUGAUAUUCACCCAACAUAGCGAUGAAAUCAACGACUUAAUGUUAAAUCGGCAUGUUGCCUUAUUUAUUGGAAUUAAUUUAAAGACAUGAAUGAAAAUAUUUCUAGAUAAAAAAAUAAAAGUAAAAAAAAAAACUAAAAAAAAACUAAAAUUGAUGUUGCACUAUGGUAUGAACUACUAAUGCUAAAUUCGGAACAGACAAAUAUUAAUAAAAAGUUAAGAAUAUUCGAAACAGAUAAUAUAUAAAAUAUUAACAAUAUACAUGCGAUAGUAACAGUAUAAAACAAUAAUAAUGCAUAUGGUAUUAAACAUGAUAGUAAUAGCAUUAAACACGAAAUAAAAUCAUGAAUAUAUAUAUAAACAUAUAAUAAUAAAUGAAGUAACGUAAACAUAAUAUUAAAAAUACUAAUAGUGCUAUAUAUAUACACAUAUUAAGAUAUAUACCAUAAUAGGUAUUAAUGGUGCAUUAAUAGUAUUGAAAAUAUGUAUAUAAUAUAUAAAAGGAUAACAUUGAAAAUACAUACAUAAUGCAAAGUUAAAAAUAAUAUAUGAAAUAUACAUACAUAAUAUCUAUUAAAAGAAUAUACACAUAAUAUAUAUACGCAUGUAUUAAAAAUAAUAAUGAUAUUUAAAAUUAAUUAUUAACAAUGUUACAUAAAAGUGUAUAUAUAUAUGAAUGUUAGAAUAUUUAUUGAAACCAAAACUAAUACAAAUAGUAGUAAAACUAAUAAUAUAAUAUAAUAUAAAAAUAGGUAAUUAAAAACACUAUGAUAUGAAUACGUAUAUAUAUGCAUAUAUAAAAAUACAUACCAAUAUUAAUAAUAAUAAUGAUACUAGAAAUAAUAAUGAAACACACAUAAGUAAAUAAAAUAUAAUAAUAAUACUAAAAUAAAGUAAAUAAAAAAAUACUAUAUAUGGAUAUAUACACAAUAAUAUAAAAAAAUGUGAUAUAAAAACCAUAUGUACAUAAUAAUAUGAAAAACAUAUAUAUAUAAUAUAACAUUAGAAUAUUUACAUAAUAUAUACAUAUUAGGGAUAAUAAUAAUAAUGUUAUAAAACAAUUGUUAAUAAUACUACAUGAACAUAUACAUACAUAUACAUAUUAAAGAUAUAUACAUGUAUAAUAAAACAUAUACUACUACUACUACUAAUAAUAAUAAUAAUAAUAAUAAUAAUAAGGAUAAUAUAAGAAUAUAUACAUGAAAUGGUAUAAGAAAUAUGUAACUAAUAACAUUAAAGUAUGUACAUGAUAGAUGGAAUAUAUACAAUAUAGUAUUAGAUAUAUAUAUAUACAAUAGUAUAAAGGAUGUAUAACUAAUGAUACUAAAAUAUAUGCAUAAUAAUAUACGUAAAAUAUAUACACAAUAUAGUUAUGAAAAUACAUAUAUACACAUAAUAUAGAAUUUAGAAUAUGCCUAAUAUAUUAAAAGAGUAUACAUAUAGUAUAGUAUUAAGACAAAUAAUAAAAAAACUAUUAAUAAUAAUAUAUAAUAUACGUAUAACUAUUAAGUAGAAAUAAUGAUAAUGAAAUGUUAAUAAAUAAAACUAUAAUAACCAUCACAUUAACAAUAGUGUAAUUAAUAUUUAAAUUAAGAUAAAAUGAUAAGAAAAGUAAAAAAGGACGUAAUUGAAUAGGAAAAUAAAAUUUUGAGGCAAAUUCAAAAUUAAAAUAAAAAGUAAGGGCUUAUUUGAAAUCGCGUGAGGUGUAGGGGGACCAAAAGCGCAAUAUUCCCAAGCCCUUAAAACUAUGUCGUGUCAACAAGGACUCAUUUGAAUUCUAAAAAAAUUAUGGGGUUGAUUUCAAAAGUUACAGGAACUUACUUGCAAAAUAAUGAAAACGAGGAUCCUAGCGGGCAGGGUCGGGUCGACCCGAUCCAUGAUGAAACAACGCCGUUUCAAUGCUUAAGUGCAGGGCCUAAAACGACGCCGUUCCAGACCCCUAUAAAAGUUAAAAUUUUUUGAAAGUUCAAUCAUUUAUGCGUGUUGAGGAAAAAAAGAGGGAGAGAGAAACUUAUUUUCUCUGGAUCAAAUCCAGAAUCUGGCCCGGAAGACCACCGUCGCCGUCGCAUCUCCGUCGCUGCCGGCCACCGUACACAGUGGCCGGACUUUCAAAAAAAUGUAUUUUUAGUUCUUUUUUCUUUUAUAUUUUAUGUUCUUUAUUUUUGUAUAUACAUAUGCAUGUAAUCAAAAAUAAAAAUAAAAUCUUUAUGUAUAUGUGUGUAUAUGGAUGUGCGUAUGAAAAAGAAAAAUGUUGGCUACCUUAGACUGAAUCUGCUUAUUGCUUACUUUUUUUCCUUCGAUUUGAACUGAUUUCUUUGUUCUAAAACCUGUUGUUUGUAUUGAUAAAGAAUGGCCAGCUUUUUCUUUUUUCAUUUUUUUGUAUUUUUUUAUAAACUUUUUUUUCUUUUACAAAUUUUCAUUCGUCUUUAUAGCCUAUUUGGUAUACUGUUUGUUUCCCUUUUUUGUUGUUGUUGCGUGUUUCACUUGCUGUGCAAGUGGUGGUUGAACGGUGGUGCAGAGGCUGGUAUGGGCGAUGGGACGUUGUCGGUGUUGAGGCAGUUUAGGGUUUCAAAUUUUUUUGAAACCCUAAGUCUAGAGUUGAGUCAAAAAUUGGGCUUCUUAAGUUUGGGCUAGUUUGAGCAUUGGGCUUGGGUUUAGAUUGGAUUUAGUUUGUAAUAGGUUGUUGGGGUUAUGAAACAGGUUGAGGUUUAAGUGGGCUUUGUAAAAUAGGGUUUGGGUUUCUAUUACGUUAAUGGGUAUUGGUUUAAGUGUGGGUAAAAUUGGGCUGUGGGUAUUUUGUAAAAGGGUCUAAUAUUGGCCUACAACAUCUAUAACUUAUUCUUUAGAAGUUUUAAUAAUAUAUAUUAUAUACACAGUCUACCCUUCUAAUAAGAUCAUUUUCAUGAUUCGAACUUAGGUUAUCCCUAAAUUAUUUUCAAGUGCAAUUUAUAUCUACAAUAUGCAAAAAAAAAAUUCACAUAAAUAUAAAAAAAUAUUAACUAAGUUAAAUAACCAAAUACAAAAAAAAAUUAUUUUCAAUAAAAUAAUGAAAAAUAAAACAAAAAUAUCAGAGAUAAAAAUUAAACAUUAUUAAAAGAAGUUAAUUUGUUAAAAAUAUCUCAAAAUUAAUUUUUGUUCCCUCGUUUUUGAACCUAAAAAAGUUAAUUUCUUAAAAUAUUUAGAUAUGAAUUACGCAAAUCUUCAAGAUUUUUUUUGUUUGUUGAAUCAAGAAUGAUUAAAUUUCAAAAUUAAAAAGAAAAUCGAGAAUAUUUGAAGUCAUUAUCACUAAUUUAUACAUGAGUAUAUAGAAUUGGGUUUUGAUUUUUAAUGAUUAUUUACACAUAUUUUUCGUGUAAGUUGUGUUCAUCGAAACCUUUCUUAUGCAUCCAUUUUUCAACAACUCUUAAUUUUGUUAAAUCAUGAUUUAGUUUGUUUGUGCAUAAAAAUCAUAAAUUAAUUAAGAAACCAAAUAAUAAAACAGAAGAUCAUUACACAAUAAAAUUUACUUGAAUAAACUAACAAAAAAGAAGGAGAAAUUGGAAUUGGGUUUGUGCAUAGGUCAUAUCUAAUUAAUAUGGGGUGAAUUAGCCAAUAAGAACUACUCUUAGUGGUAAACAAGGUAGGUUUGGAUUUCAUAUUAAUUCUCACCAUAUAUUCAUAUUAUUUAUUUUGUUAUGACAAUUAUAGCCUAUGAACCAAGAAAUUUGAGCUUUCAACCUUAGAAAGUAAAAUAAUUAACUAUAGAUGCGAAACUUGAAUUGAAUUACAUUUAUAAAGGCUAAUCAAUUUAGGUUUUUUUUUUUUAGAAUUUUAUUAUUAUAAAUAUAAUACAUUUACAAGUAAUAAUAUUUAAUUAAUUAUAAAAUUAAAUUAAUACAAAGCAUAAAAAAUAAUGAACAAAAAAAAAUUCAGAUCAAAUAAAGCAAGAAUUAAAUAAAAUCUACCCAUAAUAUAUAUAUAUAUAUAUAUGAAAACCGAUACAUUAGUAUUACGCAUGAUGGCCUCAAACUUAAAUAUUCAAAGAUCCAAUAUUUCUUCCUUAAAAACCACUAUUUAUUCCAUAAAAUAAUGUUUAAAUGGAUAUCGAAAAUAUUAAGUUUGACAAGAAAUUGGGUUCAAAAUCAAGUAACAGUAUUAUCAUCCAAAAGGAGAACCCACUUAAUUAUUGUACGGAUUAACUGUUAAAUGAUUUGACAUAAGUCAGUAAAAUGGAAUGUUAAAGUCAGAUUUAAUUAAAAAGUUUAGGGAUAAAUUUGAAGCUUAGUGACUAAGCAGAUUUUACUUUCCAAGAAGAAUCUGAUUUUUUUUGGAGAAGAUACAAAGGGGGUAGGCUUUCGUGUGUAGGAGGGAUUCAAAUUUCAUAAUUGUAUUGAAUUUAAACAUUUUGGACUAAAUCAGCUCAAAUUCAAUUUUCUUUUCUCCGAAUCUUAUUAUUGGUCAGGUUUACUUGAACCCCACGUAGUGAGUGUUUUGAUUUGAGUGAUUGAAAAUUUAAAUAUUAUUUUAAGGAAAAAAACAAAAUAUUAAAACGAUUUAUUUCAAUUUCUCAAAAGCUUCAUGAAAGCCUUUUUUUUUUUUAACGUUUCUUUCGUAUAAAAUAAGAUAGUUAGUGUAAAAUUACCUCAUUAUUCUCCUAAAAUAUCUUAUCAAUUUUUUUUCAUAAGUUAUUUUUUAAAUUGAUAAGGUUCUAUUCAUUGUAACAUUCUCAUACCUAACCCAAAUAUCAGGUCAAAACUCUAAGAUGUUACAUUCUCUACUACAUUCUUCACUUAUCAAUUUUUUUUUAUAAAAUUUCAAUUUAGUCUCUUUUUGUAAUAAAAGUUCAAUAUUCACUAAUUAAUCAUAUUAAAUAAAUUUUCUUUCUUAUUACACUUUAAUCACAUAAUUUAUCUUAAUAUCUUGUUUUACAUAUCAAAUUUCUAUGUAUUUCACUUCAAGGGCGAAGCCAGAAAAUUUUUUUUGAAGGGUUGGAUGAAAUUUUAAUUUUUUAUAGUUUAUAUAUUUAUAAUUUGUAAAGGAUUAAAUCAAUUUUUUAUAAUUUUAGGGGGCCAAAGUACAAUUUUACCUUUACUAAUUUAAAUUUUUUAAAAAAACUUAAGGGCCUAAAAAAUAAUUUUACAUUUUAGGGGGGCCGGGGCCCAUGCCAGCCCCCUAGCUUCGCCCUUGUUUCACUUCUAUUAUUUCAUCCACAGAUUUUCUCAAGUUUAACAAUUUAGUCCUUGUCAUCAUAAAAAUUCCAUAAUUUUACUUUUACAACACUUUAUGCAUAUUUCAUCAUCUCAUAACACAUUAAUUAAAAUUUUAUCAUGAUUUCCUUAUUCACAUAUUAAAUUGUUUCACAUUUAAACUUUUGUACAAUUUUCAAUUUAGUCCCUAUAGCCAUGUAAUUUAUUUUUCACCAUAUAAGCAUUUUAAUCAAAUAAUUCAUUAUAAUAUCUUAUUUCACGUAACAAAAUUUCAUGUACAUCACUUCUCUUGUGACGCCUCGAAUUUAGGGUUAGAAGAGUCAGGGUUUGUAGGAUAAGUCACUGGGUGUGAUGAGACUUUUAAAUAUAUUUUCGUGUUUUAAAGAUAACAUGAACUUGUUGGUUUAAUGGUAAAAUGCUUGUUAAUUUGCCUUUAAGUCUUGUCUUCGAGUCUUUCUGAGAGUUUAAAGGAAGUUAAUUUUUUUUAAUUUUAAUUUUGUUAUACGAAAAUGAUAAUUUUUGAAAAGUUAGUUUUAUUUUAUCUUAAUUUAGUUUUAUUUUAUCUUAUUUUAAUUUUUAAAUAAAAAAUAAAAAAAGAAAAAUCCCAAAAUUUUCUCUCACGUUUGCCUCACCCUCUCCUAUUCACGUCAGUUUCCUAUUCUUUCUCCCAAAUUUUCAAACUUUUGUUUUUGGCUACUGUGCUCUCCUUUUGCCAUCGUUUUUAUUUUUUAUUUUAUUCCUUUCUUUGAUUCACCAUUUCUUUAGUCUACCGAUUUUACUUAUUUGUUUUUUUUCCUCCAAAGCUUUAAUAAUUUCAAGCCACUUUAAUUGUUUCAAUAUAAUUUUUGAUUGCUGUUCCAUUGGAGUUCAUUCAAUUUUUUUUCUUUCUCUCUGUUGACGUCAAAGUUUUAUUAGAUUAGUAUUGUGGUGGCGAAUCGGUCGUUCAUUGGUGUCGAAACUCUUUUUAUUUUGAAAGCAAUGGGGAUCGACUUUUGAAAACAAAAUUGUGGAGUCGCCACCAAUCUCUUUAUUUAGGUAUGAUUGGGUCACCUACUAAAAUACUUUAUUCAUGAAAAAUCAAAAAGUGGGUUUAGGAGUCGGUUACGCUCAAAAAUUGGUACCAAAUUGAUUUGAUGCUAUCCUUAUAUCAAAAGAAAAGAUUUUUCACAGUAUGACUCCUUUUAAAAUGUUUAAAUAGUUUAAAUUAGUAGUCAAAAUUCUCUUAUUUCAAAUAUAUGCAGUUUCAUACUCAGUACGAUUGGAUACGAUCCCUUAUACCCUUAAAAUGCGAUUGAUUUUUGACUUUUGAAGACUCACAUACUAAAAUUAAAAGGUUAUCCAAAUAUUCAGUUCACCAGAAAAAUCAUACCCAGUACGAUUGAGCACGAUUUUCCGAAUUCCCCAAAUAUUGGAUAUUGCCUUAUUUCAAAUUUUUUUUGAAUGGUAGAAAAUUGGAAAUUUACUCAAAAAAUAUGUUUAUUUGUUUUAAAAUAAAUAAAAAAAUUAAUGCAUGGCAACAAAACGUAUAUAUAUAAAAAAAGGUUAAUGAAUAUGAAAUAAUAUACAAAAAGUACAACCUCACUUAAUACAUCCAACAAUUAAAUACAAUUAUUUUAUGUAUAAUGUAACAAAAAAAAUCUUUAAGCAUGGAUAAUGAACAAUUAAUAUAAAAAUAAUAUACACGAUGAUUAACAUAACACAAAAUAGAAUGAUGCACAAAAAUAUGUAUGAAACAAAAUGAUGAAUUAAUGAUUAUAUAAUAUAUAUAUAUAAGUUAACAAGUUUGCAUAAAACUUAGGAUAUAUGUUUAUUGAAAUAGUUAUUAUAAAAUACAAAGUUCAAAUCAAAUUAUAUAUGGAAUAUUUAAAACACAAAUUCAUUCCAAAAAUUGAUAAUUCACAUGAUAACUUAAAUAAUGUAUGAUGCAUAUACAAGUAAAAUUGGGUAUAAUUGUUUGUAAAAAAAAUGAAAUUAAUAAUGUAUGAAAAAACAAAGUAAAUAUUUCAGUUAUAUAGGUAACAAAAUAUAUAUAUAUAUAUAUAUAUAAAAUACAUAAGGAUAAUAUAUAAGUGUAUACAAUAAAUAAGUGGUAUGAUUUAAAAUAUGGUUCUCAAAAGAAAUAUAUUAUACACAUAAAUAACUUUAAAAUAGGAUAUAUACGUAGAAAAAUAUUUACAUAAAGUUAUAUGAAAAUAAUAACAUGUACUAUAGUAAAAAUAAUUUAAUAUGUGUUAUAUACAUGUGAAAGCAUUUUUAAAAUAAUUGAAUAUUAAAAUAAUAUAAAAUAAAAAAUGAAUUAUAAAAUUAACUUAAAAUUAGCAUAAAUUAUAUAUAUAAUCAAUAACAUAAAAAAAAACUGCAAUUAUAUAGAGCUAAAAUUACAUGUAAGAAAUAUUGCUUUGAUAAUGUAUGUAAGUUACAUAUAAGUACUAAAUAUAUGUUUAAUAAUAAUUCAAAUAAUAUACUUAAUAUGAAGAAAUAAUAAUACAUGACAAGGUAUUAUACAUAUGAUAGAUUUUUUUAUUUAAAAACUUAUGUAUAAAAUAAACACAUGUGAAAUUAGAAAAUUAUAUACAUACUAUUUUGCUCAAAAAUACUUAAAAGAAAUACUAAAUAACAUACUAGGAUAACAUAAUAAGGAGACAUAUUUCAAAAUAACAAUUUUAUAAAUACCAAGAUGGAUUUCCAAAACAAUAUCAUAUGUACAUAAAGACAUGUAAAUUAAACAUAACUUAAGAAAUAUUUUAAAUAAUUUAUGUAUAUAAAUAUAUUGACAACACUUAUUAAUAAGGUAUUAAAACAAUGUAAUAUAAAAAGAAUUUUACAACAUGCAAAACAAUGGUUAUUAUAAAAAAACUAAAAAGAAUGAUUAAUAUACAAAUAUAUGUAAAAUAUUUAAAGAAAUAAGAUACAUGAUGUAAAAAAUAAUCUACAAUAAUUAUACAAAUGUAGCAAACAAAAUUAUUUACAUGUAUUAAGGCAUACACAUAUUGAAUGUAUUCUAAAUUAACCGAUUAUACAAAUAUAAGACUCAAUUAAAAAUGCAUCAAGAUAAGAAGGAUAAUUUGUAAAUAAGAUGACCAUAAAAUAGAUCAAUGCAUAACAUGCAUAAAUAUAUAGGGACUGAUAUUGUAAAUCCUCCCAGGCCUAAAUCACAUCACUGUAUCAUGAAUUUAAAUGAAAAUGCGCUCAAAUCAGUGAGCCAAAUUGAAAAACAAAGCAAAGCAAAAAGGAUGCAGUCGAAGCCCCAUGCGAAUGCAAAGGACUUAGCGCGUAAAUUUCCCUUGCAUACAAAAUUGGCGCAGAUCCGAUUCACAAUUCGGGCCAAUGCGCAGACCAUUAUGGCCAGCAAACGCUGCCGUUUGGCUUUAUGGGUGAUUUUAAACCCUUUUUCCUUCAAACAUAACCUGAUUUUCAUUAUUUCUUAGUAGUAACAGCAGCCAUUAACCCCCAAUUGAUAGGGUUUCACUUGGCUCUAGCCGACAUGCAAAUAGCUCCAUCAAAGGCCGACGACAUGCGAUCAACGGCCAAAUCCUUGCCCACGCAAGUCGCAACCAUGGAGAUCCGGUAAGCCCCCCUUUCUCCUUCGUUUUUUUUUUUGUUUUAAAACAACCUUAAAUCAUAUUUUACUUCUUCGAAAACCAAAAAAAUAGAUAAACAAAGAUCGAAGAAAACGUUCGACCCUCCCCGAGUCUCUUCAUUCCUGAGAUGUGUGGGUUUUCAUCGGUAUCGACUUAUUUCUUAACAAAAAAAUCAUGCCAACUAAAGAGAUAAAUCAAAAGAGAAAAGAAAAGGAAAAAAAAAACACUUGAGAUCACCUUUGAUAUCUCUGAUUUUUCUAUAUUCUGUGUAUUUGCAUAAACGUAUAGUAUGCAUACAGUGUGCGUAAAAAAACAAGGUACAAACAAUGGCUAUUUAUAGCCAAAUUUACAGAAUAAAUGAAAAAUAAAAAUACAUUUUCCCUCUGUCAUUUGGCUGUAAAUUCUGUUGCUGCUUCUUCUCGUAUAUUCUUUUGCAGGUAUAAAGAAACGGCCGUACGGAGAAAGCCCCUCGUGAAAGCCGUGCGUGAGUUCGAUUGCAGCACUGGUGCAUUCUAGAAACCCUUAAGUUUCUGGCAUUUUCAAGCAAUUGGGCCUUUUGGGCCAUUUGUGAAUUGGGCUAUAAGACUGUAUAGUUUGGGUGUCCGUUUAAUUGGGUCAAAUUAUAUGUAGUUGGGCUAAGGAACUUUGGUACUUGUUUAGGCUAUGGGUUUAUUAGAAUUGGGUUUUGGGUCAUGGGUUAUUUAGUAUUUUGUAAAGGGAUUUUUUUUGGACUAUUUGGUCUUGGUCCUUAUUCAUUUAUUUGGGUUUAUUAUUUGCAAAUAAAUUAAAUGGGCCUGGGCAAAAUUGGUUGACUACAAAUGCUGUUUGGGAUCACAUUUUAAGGUGUGUUUCUUGAAUACUCGUGUUUUGUAGCAAGGGUUGUUGUGGUCCUAUGUUUAUAAAUUUUUCAGCUUUUUGCAAUUUGUAGUUUUUAGUUUUACCUUUCUUGCAAGUGUAUUGUCAGGGUUUUUUUUUUUUUGUGACUUACAAUCUGCAUUAUUAUUUUGAUAGACUUAAGGCCUAUCCGUUAGCACUCAUUCGCUCUAUAGUGUGCGAACCACAAACGAAUUGCUUUAUGUUGUUGGAGUUCUUUAUUUCUUAUGGUUUCCCACUAUUAGCUAAUUUUAGUUUUCUUUUCUUUUUAUCAUUUAUUAUAUUACAAAUUACCCAUUUACUAUUAUUAAGACAAGGAUUUUUCAUGCAUCCAAUUCUUGAUCGCUUUAGAUCCUGCAUUAGGCUUAGUUAUUAGUAAUCAGGGAAAAUUUUUUUAGGAAGAGCUAGAUGAAAUUUUAAUUUUUUAUAGUUUAUAUCUUUAUAAUUUGUAAAGAAUUAAAUUGAAUUUUUAUAAUUUUAAGGGGGCCAAAUACAAUUUUAUCUUUAUUAAUUUAAAAUUUUUAAAAAAAUUUAAGGGCCAAAAUAAUAAUUUUAUAUUUUAAGGGGGCCGGAGCCUAUGCCAGCCCCCCUGUCUUCGGCCCUGUUAGUAAUGUUGUUUCCUCAUUUUUAUUUACAGAUUAUCUUUGUAUUAUAUGUGGACUAAUUAUCUUUAUUGUCGCACUCAAAACUACUUCUCAUGAAUUCAUUUAUGUUUUCUUCCUUGAUGACUUGUUAUAAUAAUUUUGUAAUAUGAGAUUGAUUGAAAGUGUUAAACAAAAUUUACCUAUGUCGAUGAUUCGGCUAAUUGGUGUCGGUUAUAAAUAUGUUUGAGAGUUGUUGGUAACUGAACAUGAGAAUGUUCAAUUUUGUAUAUCUGUAUGCAUAAUACCAUUUGCAUUUACAUUUGUGAUUGGGACAUGGUUUUGAAGUGAAGGAAGUUCGUAUUAGCAGUUCCACUGCAUCUUUAUAUUUUUAACGGUGUUUCCGCAUUACUAAAAGUGGCAUAUGACCACUUCAUGGUGUGAAUUGGUUGGAAGGGUCCACCAUAACCCGAUAAUGGUGUGUAGAGGAUGGAAGGGUUUAGAAAAGACCCUAUUUUUGGUGUGUGACGGUUGGUUGGAGAUGGUGUGUAUAGGCUGGAUAGGUGGGGAUUUUGUGACCUUUUGUAUUUGAAUGUGAUUUGUGUGUCUGUUUAAGGAUAAUGUGGAAUAAUGCGUUAAAUUUGAAAAGCGUUGUGGACAAUUAUAAAUAAAGGUACGCGUUAUUCAAAUUUAUUCGAUUUACAUUUUCUCUUAGUUGUUGUUUUAAUAGUUUUGCAAUAGUCUUACAUUUAAUCAAGUACAUUAGUUUAUCCGCGAUUAAUAUUAUGCAUUAAUUUAUAUGACUUUUAUAAACAUUUUAAGUUUUAAAAAAUAUUGAUCUCACAAUCCAAAUUUCCUACCUCCGCCCUUGACAAUAUCUAUCCUACGGUUAGGAUGCUAGCAUUAAUCAAGUUUAUUGAUGAAAAACCUAGAAAGUUAUUUUAACAAGAAAAAAAACUCCUAAAUUAAGAAGAAUAAAUGGAAGAGAGACCAUCAAGCCAGAAACAUAGUAGACUAUAGAGGAUAAUAAAACAACUUCAACUCGAAGGUUUCAUAAAUCAUUCUUCCAAUUGCUUUAAAACUCUCUUAAGAGAUAAGGAUCAUGAUAAACAUUGUCUUCACUCUAAAUUUCUCAAUAUAACCAAUUAAAGAGUUGAAGAGUCCUAACCAAAGAUCAAUUGUUGUUUUGUCAAACAUGUUAUUCUUUAGUAGGCAAAAAAAAAAAAAAAAAGAAGAGUCAAACACGCAUGGGGCUAAAACAACUCAUGACCCAAGCGAAAAAUUUGUUCUCAUUCUAACCGAACAUGGAACGACCAGGUAAAAAAUCCCAACAAUCUCUCCAUUGACAUUUUUUAUAGAACCAUGUUUGAUUACACACUCCCCCUAUCAAUAUGUUUGUUCAUCACAUAAUCAAUUAAGCAUGCAAGAAGGUCAUAAAUAAACAAUAAUAUAUCAACACCAUCUUCUUCUUUUCUUUUUUUUUUAAAAAAAAUCACCAAUCAUCUCCUUUUGACAAAGAGAAAUGUAGCAAUCAUAACCAAGAACAAAACUUUUCAUUUGCUAAUACCAUUUUCUCCCCCUUUUUGGUAAAAUUGGCAAAAGUGCAACCAUAAGUGAAAACAAAGUAGACUAAAUUUCCAAAUCAACAUUAUUACUUCCCUUUACUCCGUUAAUCCUCUAUCGACUUCCAUCAUGUUGUUUAAAGCGGAUGAGAUCAAAUGUUACCGUAUCAACAAGAGGAGUUGUAGCUCGUGGAGCAACAAACACUUGUUCCACCAAAUCUAGUGUCCAAUACUUGAUAUAUCUUCAAUAUGAUCUCCAUCAAAUUGUAAUUUCAUGCUUCACACGAGCAUUAAUUAAAUGCUGAUAUUCAUUACUCAAAUUUCCUUGAUCUUUCCUCGCCUAAAUUUGUCUAUACUGUGGUUUCCUUGUUCCAUUCAUUGUUCUAACAUGUUUUUUUAGUUGAGUUGAACUUCUUCCAAUCGCACAUCAACUUAAAACAAUAGGGUCUGAUAUCUCCAACUUUCCCACAAUAAUGAUAUACAAUAUUUCAAAAUCCCUGCCUCAUUAUAAAAAGAAGAACUCACAUAUUUAGCUUUAACAAAAAUUCUAGGCGCGAUAGGGUCUUUACCUUUAUUUAUUGAUGUAACCAAGCCCUCUGUGGCUUGGUUUAGUUCUCAUUGAAGCCAAAUUUUCAUCCAACUUCUUAAUUUGGCCUUUAAACUUCUUCAAAACAACAUUUGCAUCCUCUAGCUCGCUCUUAGUUGCUUUCAAUGCAUUAUAUUUUAUUGACCACAAUUUUGAGUUUUUCUUUUUCGCCUUCAGGGAAAAUAAUUUCUUCCCUCAAGGAAUCAUUUAAUUGGCACAAUAUUUGCAUUUCUUUAACUUAUGGCUAUAAGCAUCCUCCAAAGAUUUCAAAGGAUCAUCAUCAACAUCUGGAUCUUCUUCAGAAUUUAUUAAAACAAGGUUUGGAACAAUAGUAGUAAAAGCAAUAUAGUUGCUCACAUUUUCAUAUACAUUAAAACUUUCUUCUUCACUCCAAGUGACUCUAAGUGACUUCUCAUUCUUUUUAGUAUUAGCACAUUUUGAUUGAAAUGAUUAAAUCCUUUUCAUUCAUAACAUUGAACAUCUUUCUUUCUCAUCCCAUUGGUAUCUAAUUUAGUUCCCUUCUAAGUGAACUUCUUCAUGCUCUUUGUAAGUAAGACUAAUUGCUUUUUUGAUCUCACCAAUAUCUUCCAUUGUCUGUUUCAUUGUUGGGACAACAUUUUGAGCAUUGAAUGUUGCGUUCUUUGGAAAACUCAUUUGAUCACGUUUCACUUCCUCCAUAUUUAACUCAAAAAUUUGGAGUGAGCCUAUUCAUUCGUCCAACUUGAGAGAGGUAAUAUCUUUAGCCUUCUCUAUUUCCGUGACUUUAAUUGUUGUUCUGUCACAAUUUGUGAUAGCAAAUUAGGUUCUUUCUGGCACUUAAUGAGCUUAUUUUUGGCAUAAUUUAGUGUUAUUUUGAUUAGUUUUACAUUUUAGUCUUCAAUGUUUAAUUUUGGUAAAAUAAGCGUUUUUACAUGUUUUUAGGUGUUUUGAUGACCCAUUAGGCCAAUUCUGGCUUAGGGUUAAUAGGCUACUUGAGUGUGCAGGAACAAAGCAAAAUAACCACAAGGAGAGAUAACAUACAAUAUUUGUUAAAGCUGAAAAAUGUUAAACGCAAAGUAACACAAAGAGCAAACUAAUGAGAGAUAAUAAAUAUUUGUUAACACAGUUUAGACACCUAUUGGCUAAAGCCCAAUCUACCUUUACAUAAAGAAGUAAUUGCAACCUUAAUACCGACCUUAAUUGUCACAAAUCACUCACCCAAAUACUUCACAAUUCAAUCAGGAAGCUCUCCAAAGAAUGCCUAAAAGAGUGUCACAAAAUAACCACAACAAAGCUGUCGACAAAGACACUAAAAAACUGCUUUCUAUGUGACACCACAAGCAACCUAUUUAUAAGCUUAUACUUGAGUCCAUCCAACAGAGUUUUGAUAAGCUUUAAACUCCUAUUUAAAAGCUGAAAUUGUCCCAUUAAUUAUCCCGAGUAUUUAUCAAAUAAAAGUACUCAUAAAUCAAUCUUCCAACUGCUCCAAAACUCUCUCAAGAGAUAAAGAUAACGGUAAAUAUUGUCAUCACUUAAAACUUUCUCAAUAUGACUAGUUAAAGAGCUGUAGAGUCUUAAGUGAAAACCAACCGUUGUUUUCUCAAACAUGACACUCCUUAGUAGGCCAAUAAAAACGUCCAACACCCAUGGGGCCGAAACAACCCACGACCCAAGUAGAAAAUUUGUUCUCAUUCUAACAGAACAUGGAACGAGCAAGUCAAAAAUCCCAACAAGAAAAAUUCAAUAGAUCAUUUAAGAAGUUGUUCAAGAAGACCAAAAGUAAUGCUGGUGGGUGUUAGCUUUGCUGUCUUAAGCUUUUGGUAAAACAAUAUUUGUGAUAAAUUUAAAUUAUUUAUUUCCUAACUCAUUUGGGAAAAAAUAUGGUUGAAAACUUUAUUAACAUUUUCAAAGACUUGCGAUAUGCUCAAAAGCAUCUUUUAAACAUGUUUUAAUUUAUUCAAAUGUUUUUGAGUCAAUAUCAAAAUGUUCUAAGGUGUUUAAAAUGUUUUAAAGAACUUUAGUAGUUAAAUCUCGAGACAUAGGACUCUAAGUCUCAAGACAAAUAAGUUAGUAGCCAAACUUUGCUCUAGGGGGUGCAAAGUAUGUUUUAAGACAUAGACUACAUGUCUAGAGACGUAAUAGUAAACUGCACGGGAUUUACUAUAUGUCUUAGAAUAUGGCAUGCAUGUCUCAAGACAUAGCCUUUCAAUGACUAUUUUUCAACCAAGUCUCAUGAUAUAUUGGCAAAUUUUGACACAUAAAUUGCAGGGACCUUUUUUUGUUUUGCUCGAAAUAAAUGCUUCCAACGAUUCUAUUUCACCCCCAACUGUCAUAAGCAUUUGCAAACUUGUUCUUUUGUAUAUAUAAUCUUCAAGAACACUUCAAGACAUAAUAUAGCAACAACUAAGCUUAAAGAUUAAGAAAAAAGUCUACAAAUCUUCACUAUUUCAUUUCUCUUAUAAAUAUUCUCUAAAAUCUUAGUGUCAAAUCUUUUACAAUUCAUAUAUCUUUGUUGUUAGAAUUAAGUGACCCGAAUCCUUAUUUAAAUAAAAUACAGUGGUAAAAUAAAAUAAAAGAAGAAUCAAUAUAUAGAAUUACAUUUCUUUUAUUUUAUUUUAGAAUAAGGUUUUUUAAACCUUAUUAAAUUCUAUCUAUUUGAUAUUGAUUAGAAUAAAGUGUUUCAGUUUUACUAGAAUAUGACUUCACAAGCCUUUAAAUAGACAUAGUCUAUUCCUGUUGUAAUAAUUUGAAUUCGACAUAGUGAAUUUUCUUCUCCUUUAUUCGUGAUUUUUUCUUGAAAAGGUUUCUAAGUAAAAAUUUAUAUAUUUUUUAUUUUAUUUUAUUUUAUUUUUUACAAAUUGGUAUCAGAGCUUCUGAGUUAUUCAUCUCGAUCACGGUAAUGACGUAUUUGAAGUAUGAAAUUCCGCUGUUGGAUCGCAACAAUAGAUUUGCAUUGUGGUAGAUUAAGAAUCAAGCAAUUCUUGUGUAGAUGGAUCUAGAGGAUGCCCUACUAGGGAUAGAUAAGAUGCCUUUAACAUUAACAGAUGAAGAGAAAGAAGCGUAAGGAUCGAAAGGCGUUAACACAAUUACAUCUGUAUUUUUCCAAUAAAAUUUUACAGGAUGUGAUGAAAGAGAAGACCGUCGCUGCAUUAUGGAAGAGACUAGAACAAAUAUGUAUGUCGAAAACUCUAACAAGCAAGUUGUAUCUGAAGCAGCGUCUUUAUGCUCAUAUUUUGGAGGAAAGUGCGUCUGUACACGAACACUUAAUAGUGUUUAAAGAAAUUCUAUCAAAUUGGGAGGCCAUGGAGGCUCAGUAUGAUAAGGAAGAUCUAGGGUUGAUUCUACUUUGUUCGUUUCCCCUGUCUUAUUCAACCUUUAGAGACACGAUUUUAUAUAGCCGCGAGUCUCUCACAGUUGAUGAGGUUUAUGAUUUUUUGACCUCGUAUGAUAAGAUGAAACAUCUUAUGGUUAAACUCGACUCUCAAGGAGAGGGUCUCAUUGUUCGUGAGAGACAAGAUCGAAAUGCUGAUGAUGAUCGUGGAAGGACACAGGAACGGAAUCAUCGCGGUAAAUCUAAAGGUAGAUCAAAGUCUUCAAACAAAUGUAAAACUUGUAACUUCUGCAAGAAGAAAGGGCACAUUAAAUCUGAGAGCUAUAAGCUACAGAACAAGAUUAAAAGGGAGGCUGCGAAUCAAAAGGAAAAGUAACCAGAAAAUUACGGUGAAGCUGAUGUUGUAGAAGACUACAGCGAUGGUGAAUUUCUAGUCGCUUCAGUCAAAAAUUCUAAAGUGAGCGAGGAGUGGAUACUUGAUUCAGGUUGCACCUUCUACAUAAGUCCCAAUCGGGAUUGGUUUACAACUUACGGAACAAUGUUUGAAGGUGGUGUUUUGAUGGGAAAUAAUGCUUCAUGUAAAAUCGUAGGUGUUGGAACAAUUAAAGUUAAGAUGUUUGAUGGAGUUGUCAGAACACUUAGUGACGUACGACAUGUUCUAGAAUUGAAAAAAAUUAAUUUCGUUGAGUGCUCUUGAUUCAAGAAGGUACAGAUACACAGCUGAAAGUGGGGUUUUAAAGAUUUCCAAAGGUUCUCUUGUUGUGAUGAAAGGGCAGAGAAAGACUGCCAAGUUAUAUGUUUUGCAAGGUUCUACUGUUAUUGGUGAUGCAGCUGUCGCUUCCUUUUCAUUGUCAGACGAUGAUAUUACUAAAAUUUGGCAUAUGCGCCUAAGGCAUAUAAGUGAGAAUGACAUGCCAGAAUUGAGCAAAAGAGGACUUCUUGAUGGGUAAGGAGUUUGCAAACUAAAUUUCUGUGAGCACUGUGUUUUUAGGAAGCAAAAGAGAGUUCGAUUCACUAGAGAAAUCCAAAACAUAAAGGGAACAUUGAAGUAUAUUCAUUCUGAUCUGUGGGGGCCAUCUAGAGUGCCUUUGAGAGGUGGAGCUAAUUAUAUGCUAACCUUUAUUGAUGAUUUUUCCAGAAAAGUUUGGGCAUUCUUCUUGAAGCAGAAAAGCGAUGUGUUUUCCGCAUUUAAGUCUUGGAAAAUUAUGAUUGAAAAACAGACGGGAAAACAAAUAAAAUAUCUCCGCACAGACAAUGGCUUAGAGUUCUGUUCUGAUGAGUUUAAUAGAUUGUGCAAAUCAGAAGGGAUCGUGAGACACUUGACAGUUCGCCAUACUCCGCAGCAAAAUGGCAUUGCAGAACGAAUGAACAGAAUGAUCAUGGAGAAAUUUCGAUAUAUGUUGUCAAAUGCCAACUUACCAAAGUCAUUUUGGACUGAAGCAGCUUCUACUACAUGUUUUUUUGAUCAACCGAUCCCCAUUCGUUGCCAUUGAAAAAAAGACUCCGCAAGAGGUAUGGUCUGGUAAUCCUGCAAAUUAUUCUGAUUUAAAGAUUUUUGGGUGUCCUGCGUAUGCUCAUGUUGAUAAUGGAAAAUUGAAACCGAGAUCCAUUAAACAUGUUUUUCUUGGUUAUAAAGCUGGUGUAAAAGGGUAUAAGUUAUGGUGUCCUGAAAAAAAAAAGUUGUGAUUAGCAGAGAUGUUGUUUUUGAUGAAACUGCUAUGUUGUCUAACUUAUCUCUUAAAGACUCUUCCAAUAAAGAAAAUCAAAAGUAGGUGGAACAUCAGAUUAAUACAGAGUCGACUCCUCAAGUCAGUACAAAAAUUGAGAAUAGAGUUGCUUCUUCACCGCAAUACUCUAUCGCCAAAAACAGAACUAGAAGAGAAAUUAAACCUCCAAAGUAGUAUGCUGAGGCUGAUCUAGUUGCUUAUGCUUUAAAUGUGGCUGAAGAUAUAGAUGCAAAUCAAGAGCCAUCUAAUUAUUCUGAGGCGGUUAGCUGUGAAGACUCAGAAAAUUGGAUGUUUGCUAUGCAAGAGGAGAUAGAAUCACUCCACAAAAACAGAAUAUGGGAUUUUGUAAAACUUCAUAUAGGUAAAAAGGCUGUUCGUUGUAAAUGGGUGUUUAAAAAGAAAGAAGAGACUCUAAGAGUUGAAGAACCCAGAUAUAAAGCAAUACUUGUUGCAAAGGGUUACAAUCAAAUUCUAGGAGUAGACUUCACAGAUGUAUUCUCCCCAGUUGUUAAGCAUAGUUCGAUUCGAGCUUUGCUUGGUAUUGUGGCCGCACAUGAUUUGGAGCUUGAGUAGUUAGAUGUAAAAACUGCACUUUUGCAUGGAUAACUUGAGGAGGAUAUUUACGUGCAACAACUAGAGGGUUUUACAGUCUUAAAAAAAGAGGACUAUGUUUGCUUCCAGAAAAAGUCCCUUUACGGUUUGAAACAGUCACCAAGACAGUGGUACAAGAAGUUUGAUUCCUUUAUGACUUCUCAUGAUUUCAAAAGAAGUAGUUUUGACAAUUGUGUUUACUUUAAGAAAAAUAGUGAUGGUUCAUUUGUGUAUCUACUUCUUUAUGUUGAUGACAUGUUGAUAGCAGCAAAAGAUAAAUGAGAGAUAAGAAAGGUCAAAACCCAACUAAGUGAAGAAUUUGAGAUGAAAGAUUUAGGACCAGCAAAGAAGAUACUUGGUAUGGAGAUUCUCAGAUAUAGAAAAGCAAGUAAAUUGUACCCAAGUUAGAAAGGGUACAUUGAGAAAGUUCUUUGCAGGCUCAAUAUGCAGAGUGCUAAGCUUGUUAGUACUCCUUUAGUAGCCCAUUUUAGACUUUCAUUGGCUUUGUCUCCAUAAUCAGAUGAUGAGAUUGAGUACAUGUCACAUGUUCCAUACUCUAGUGCAGUGGGAUCUCUCAUGUAUGCUAUGGUUUGUUCACGUCCAGAUUUAUCAUAUGCAGUCAGUGCAGUUAGCAAAUACAUGGUGAAUCUCGGUAAAGAACACUGGAAAAUUUAGUGGAUUUUAUGAUACUUACGAGGUACUACUGAUGUUUACUUACAAUUUGGAAGAACUAGAGAUGGAGUCGUUGGGUAUGUUGGUGCUACUUUUGCUGGAGACCUUGAUAGAAGAAGAUCUCUCACAUCUUAUGUCUUUACAAUCGGAGGUUGUGCAAUCAGUUGGAAAGCCACUUUGCAAACUACAGUCGCUUUGUCUACCACUGAAGCUGAGUACAUGGUGAUUACUGAGGCUUGUAAAAAAUCUAUUUGGUUGAAGGGACUUUUUAGUGAACUCAAUAAAGACCUUCAAAUCAACAUAGUAUUUUGUGAUAGUUAGAGUGUCAUCUUUCUUACAAAAGAUCAAAUGUUUCAUGAGAGAACAAAACACAUUGAUGUUCGGUAUCAUUUUGUUAGUGAUAUUAUUGCUCGUGGUGAUAUUGUUGUGAGCAAAAUUAGUACUCAUGAAAAUCCUGCAAAUAUGAUGACUAAGUCACUUUCUAUAACCAAGUUUGAGCAUUGCUUAGACUUGGUUGGUGUUUGUUGUUGAUGUUAAGCCCUUAAGGGGUUUUAUGAAAGAGGUGGAGAACUUGUUCGUUGAGAGUUCGCGAGCGAUGAAGAACUUGUUCGUUGAGAGUUCGCGAUGAAGAACUUGUUCAUUGAGAAUUCGUGUUAAGAUGGAGAUUGUUAGAAUUAAGUGACCCGAAUCCUUAUUUAAAUAAAAUAAUGUGGUAAAAUAAAAUAAAAGAAGAAUCCACCUAGAAUUACACUUCUUUUAUUUUAUUUUAGAAUAAGGUUUUUUAAACCUUAUUAAAUUCUAUCUAUUUGAUAUUGAUUAGAAUAAGGUAUUUCAGUCUUACUAGAAUAUGGCUUCACAAGCCUAUAAAUAGACAUAGUCUAUUCCUCUUGUAAUCAUUUGAAUUCGACAUAGUGAAUUUUCUUCUCCUCUGCUCGUGAUUUUUUCCCGAAAGGAUUUCCACGUAAAAAUUUGUGUGUUCUUUAUUUUAUUUUAUUUUCACAUUUAUAGUUGAAUUGUUCAUUUUUUAUUUCACCAAUUGUAACUUGGGAGGGUUUUAAUUGAGCCAUAAAAACUAAAAAAUAUUCUAGUUUAGCUAUUAAAGUUAGGAGGAAAGGUUUUGUCUAAGCCUUAAGAAAAAGAUAAUGAUGUACAUGUUAUACCUUCUCCUUAAAAGCCAUCAAUUUUAGUCGUGAAUUGGGAAAUCCUUAGAGGUGAAAAAUUACAGUAGUGAAGGUAAGCAAUUGGGGUCUAAUCACUAUAACUUCAUUUUAUCAAGCUAUUAUCCCUUGAUUUUUCCAUUUAGAAUAGUUUUUAAGAAAAUUUUCAAAAUACAAAUUCACCUUCCUCUUGGUAUAUUGGGGCCUAAUAGUGGAUGUAGUAAAAACAAAGGCAAAUUUCCAAUCACUAAACAUUGGAUGUUGCUUAAAGGGCUCACACACUUGAACAUCUAGAGGCUAAGCUCAGUUUUCUCAAUUCACAAAUCAAUUUAAUCAACAAAAGGAGGAAUACAGUCUUUCAAUACACUGCAAAUAUGAAAAGAACAUCAGUUUCGUUUUUCUUCCUUUGGUUCUUUUUGUAAAAAGAAAAAAAAGGAGAUCAGGUAAGGAAAGCAAAUUGGGAGUGAGAGCUGAAGCUGGAAUUGAUUGAGACAAUGGGAUAGUUUUGAGUCAAUAGGAGAUCACUGACCAAUUCAAGUUGUAUUUUGCUGGAGCUUGUAGGGUUCUUGUUUGUUGGUGUAAUAGGCCCAUUUCACCGGGGCCCAUUAGAAUAAAAAAAUAGAAAUUAAAAACUAAAAAUAAAACAAAAAUAAAAAAAAACACACAAACAAAAAAUCCAAAUGUCAAUGUCCUUUUACAAAUUUUACUAGCCCAAAUAAAAUUUCAAACACCCAACCCAAUUACGAAAAUAAUCCAUAACCCAAUAAGUCCUAAAACCCAAUUCUAAUUAACCCAUAUCCUAAAUCUAGCCCAAACUUGAAAGAGCCCAAAAAGGAAAAUUUUCAGCAGUCAAGAAAGCUCCUAGAAUGCACUGGAAGGGCACCAGAGGCACGGCUUCUCAUGUGAGAUCCCCGGGUCAUCUUCUCCGUACCUGCAAUAGAAUACAGUAUAUGACAGCAAUAAAAUGUAUUUUUAUUUUAUUUUUAUUCUGAAAUUUUGGCUAUAAAAGCUGAUGAUUGUACCUACAAAAAGGAGGACGCUCAUUAUACGCAUACAGAAUUUAAAAUUUUCAAAAAGGAAUUUCUAAAAGGUGAUCUUCUUUAGUUUUAAUUAUUCUCUUAUUUUUAUUUAUUUUUCCAGCAAUUAUCUUUAUCAUUUUGCAUGUAAAAACAAAAAGAAAGUCAAAUCUUACCUUGCGAAUCGGCUUUGGCCUUUGUUCACUUCGUUGAGAUUGAAAUUGAAAGGAGAAUCCAAAAGCAUUAUCCAUCAAGCCUCGAGAUGGCGCCAAUGAGAUCCCUAAUAUCUCUAAAAUACUGAGAUAAGGACGAGGGUCAGAGGCUGUUGAAUGUGUUGGUUUUCAACCUUGUUUUUUUUUUCUCUUUGAGCAAAUGAUUUGAGAUUUGAGAUAUUUUUUUUAAAAAUAAAAUAAAUUGGGUUACCAGAUUUCCUCGAGUGGACCUUCGAUGGUGAAGUCUGGUUGUUGUUCAUGCGUUAUCGACUACCAAAUAAAAUGGUGGUUCAAUGGCUGCAAAUAUGAACCAUAACAUUUUGAUUUUGGGGCUGUGCAUUUGGGUGGAUGAGUGGCUGCAUUUAAAGAAAGAAAAAGGAUAGAAGAAAGGUUCUAAAUAACCUAUUGGAAAAACGGGGUCGUCCACUAGCAAUGGAGGUCCGCGUAUUGGCCCGAAAUGUGAAUCGGAUCUGCGCCAUUUUGUAUGCAAGGGAAAUUUUCGCGCUAAGUCCUUUGCAUUCGCAUGGGGCUUCAACUGCAUCCUUUUUGCUUUGCUUUAUUUUUUAAUUUGGCUUACUGAUUUGAGCGCAUUUUCAUUUAAAUUCAUGAUACAGUGAUGUGAUUUAGGCCUGGGAGGAUUUACAAUAUCAGUCCCUAUAUAUUUAUGCAUGUUAUGCAUUGAUCUAUUUUAUGGUCAUUUUAGUUACAAAUUAUCCUUCUUAUCUUGAUGCAUUUUUAAUUGAGUUUUAUAUUUGUAUAAUCGGUUCAUUUAGAAGACAUUCAAUAUGUGUAUGCCUUGAUACAAGUUAAUAAUUUUGUUUGUUACAUUUGUAUAAUUAUUUUAGAUUGUUUUUUUUUACAUCAUGUAUUUUUGUUUUUUUUUUACAUCAUGUAUUCUAUUUCUUUAAAUAUUUUACAUAUAUUUGUAUAUUAAUCAUUUUUUUUAGUUUUUUAUAAUAAUUAUUGUUUUGCAUGUUAUAAAUUUUUUUUAUAUUACAUUGUUGUACAGGCCCAAUAUUGCCCUGGCCCAGACAAAUAAAAAAUAACAAAACCUAAAACAAUAAAAAAGAGUCCAAAAUAAUUAGCCCAUUUAUAAUAUUAAACAGCCCAAUUUACAUCAAACCCUAGCCCAAAUAACAGCCCACUUGCUUAAGGUUUUUCAGCAGCAAACCCCUGGCACCCCAGCUCUCCAUGCCACCAUGUCGGCCACCAUGCCCCUCAGCCUUGGCCACCACGCUCCACGCGUUUGACACUCCCACCAACUCCUCCAUGUGCACCCACCUGUUGAUUUCCAUCACCUGCAGAAUAAGACAAAAAAGAAAGCAAACACUAAUACAGAGGCAGACGACAGGAAGCAAUGGCAAGAAAUUUAAAAAAAUAUUGUAUUGAAAUAGCUAUAAAUGCCAGAUCUGAAUGUAAUACAGGGGAAAUUUUUUAGAGAUUUCAAAGGGAAGAAUCGGUUGUAUUUUGGGGGGAUAUAUAUUUUUUCUUCAGAGAUAAUACAAGCGGAAGAGUAAAUCAAGAAUCGGAACUAAGUUUUGAAAGGUGAUUUUUCAUUUUUUUUGGAAUUUUCUCUUGAUUUGGAUUUCGUUUGUUCUGUUCCAUUUUCAAUUUUUUUAAAAAAAACGGUUUUUAAAAAAAAAAACAAGAGAGGGAGAGAGGGGACUUACCAACGAACUCGCGACCUCGGCUCGCCGGACCUCCGAUGAGAGUGGCGCAGGCCUAAGAGAAAAUUUGAGAGCUUUCUCUCUGUUUUUCUUUAAGGAAAAUAAGAGAGAUGAUGGGUAAAUGUUUUUUUUUUGUUUUCAAAAAAAGGGUGUUCAAUGUUUUAAAAAUAAAAAAACAAAAAAGUAGGCUUCAUUUGUUUUUUUCCCCUCAAAAGUAGAGCCUGG